GGUGAUAAUAACCUUAUAGGGAGCCAGAUGUUUGAGCGAGAUGGUUUUGUCCAGUCUAGCUUUGAAGUUUGAAUUGUUGAAAAUUUUUUGUUGACGUUGAUCUUAGGCCUUGUUUAGUUUGGGAAAAAUUUUGGAUUUCGUCACUGUAGCACUUUCGUUUGUUUGUGGCAAAUAUUAUCCAAUCAUAGACUAACUUGGAUCAAAAGAUUCGUCUCGUGAUUUAUAGGUAAACUACGUAAUUAGUUUUUGUUUUUGUCUAUAUUUAAUGAUUCAUGCAUGUGCCGUAAAAUUCGAUGUGAUGGGAAAUCUUAAAAAAUUUUGGAAACUAAACAAGGCCUUAUUGUACCUUGUGAGCUUUUUAUACGGGUCACCAGUCUGUUCAAUCAUGGAUUCUGUGGUCCUUGAAAACGUCGCUUGGACUGCGGCAUCUGUUCAUAGUCAAUCAGCUUUUAGAUCCGUGGGCUUCAUUUUUCAAAAAAAUAAACAGUGAACUUUUUGCUUGUCCAUAAAAAACAGAACAAUUUGGGAUAUCAACCUCCUUCCCUGUGUAAUCCUGAAUCUUUACCUCCACCUAAUUUCGUUUAGGAAGAUGUCCAUAGAUAUUCUUAACGUCGUGUUUGGAUAAUUUACCUCAAUCCACAUGUGUUAGGGUGGAUUAUGGUGAAAUUUAGUUCAGGUUGUACUCUAAUUCACUCUAACACAUGUACACUCAUACGAAUCCGACUACAUCUAAAUAAGGACUAAGAAAAGUGAAGACGUAUAUAGAUCUGUCAUACGUGCAGGCAUGAUCCAUCCACGCGUGUGCCUAACCAGCGCUAGGAAAUCUAACGCCUGAGAUGGCUAAGGCAACUUUGCCUGGACAUCAAUCUAAACAGGUCCUAAUAGCAGUCUCAUGUGUGCUAGCAAUAGCACUGCGAGAUUUCAGGGCACAUAUGUCACGUGCGCGCUAAGAAAUCCAGAUUCGUCUGGCGGCUGAAAUUGAGCACGUUGGCUAAUGAGAGGAGCCUGGCUGAGACCCUGAGUGCAAGUGCCUGCUCAGUGCUCACCCCUACAGCAGCAGCAAAUGUGGAUGAUCGUGCGACGAACGUAUCGACCAUUUGAUGCCGAUGGAGAUGGACUAAAGAAGGUUGUGUGACAUGUACUCGGGACGACGCGUGAGAAGGAUUCUGCAAUCCUGAGUAGGCUUUGACUUCUAUAUCUGUAAUAAUAUUAAUUAGUACGUAUUCCUUCCGUCCCAAAAAGAAUGUCAUUUUAGAAUUUUAGAAAUCUUAUUUGAUCAUUCGUCUUUUUUUCCAUAAAUAUUAUAUAUUUUGUUAUGACUUAUUUUAUCAUUAAAGAUACUUUUCUAAUGAUUUAUUUAUUUUUUUUAAUUUAAAAAUUUGAAUAAAUGAACGGUCAAACAUUAUGUCUAAAAGUUAAAAACGUUGCUCUUUUGGGGACGGAGUGAGUACUAUAUAAAAGCUAGUCAGCUUUGUACUCAUUGCAUUGCGCUUUAUUCUUUUGAUUUGAUCGGAAUUUCUGACUCUUAUUUUCUUGCCCCUUAAUACCAGAGUAACUUUAUAAUUUAUAAAAAUAAAAUGCGUAAAGCUCGUUUUCUUUUUAUCAACUGCUAGCGGUAAUUUACACGACGGAUUUCAUUUCUUCAGUCCCAUAUGUUCAUAGAUAUCCAUGCAUGUGGCCAUGCAUGUACGGACACGAUCUGUUCAGCGUCCUUCUCUCCUUGGCAAAGAUUGUCAUAGAUCCAUGCAUCUACAAACAGGUCUCCUGAGGCUAUACGAGUCUUCCGGCCACGAAUUUCACGUGCUCGACACGGAUAAUGCAGGUUCGGAUGGUGGAAGAAACGAGCACGGAUAAAAGCGUUGGCUAUAAUCGAAUGGGACUGAAGAAAGUACCUGCUCGCGUACAGCAACACCAAACAUGCAUGGAUGAUGAUUCGAUGAAUGGUUCGCGGCCUCUCCGAUGAGGUGUGUGGAAUAAGACAGAGAAAUCGACUGGACAAGGCUCCGUGAGAUGUACCGCACGCGUAUGGCUGAUAAAUCCAACCACAGUACGUACAUGAGUACAUUGGUAGUACUAGUACCAUGCUAAAGUUGCCUUCAUCACACUUCACGGCACACGUCACAAAAGCUCACAGGAUGUAUACGUCAUGAACACGAGAGGCCUUGACAGGGAAAGAAAAAGCAUCAUAUCGCGCCUUUUAUGUCUUAUUUAAUUUUUUUAUGUCACAUCAGAUGUUUUAUGAGAUGUCGAAAAAAUAUUAAGAUACUAAUUAAAAAAACUAAUUAUGUAACUCAUCGGAAAACAGUAAGACGAACUUAUUAAGCCUAAUUAACCUGUUAUUAAUACAUGUGUGUUACUGUAGCAAUUAUGUCUAAUUAUAAACUAAUUAGACUUAAAAGAUCCGUCUCGCAGUUUCCAUACGAACUAUGCAAUUAGUUAUUUUUUAUUUAUAUUUAAUACUUCAUGCAUAUAUUUGAACAUUCGAUGGAUGUGAGUAAAAAGUUUUUGGGUGAGAACUAGGCCUUGUUUAUAGUUCAUGAAAAUUUUUUAGUUCAGCUGCUAUAGUACUUUCGUUUGUAUUUACGUAGCAAUUAUUAUUCAAGCAUGGACUAACUAGGUUCAAAAAAUUUGUCUCGUAAAUUACAUACAAACUAUGUAAUUAAUUAUUUUUUAUCUAUAUUUAUUUUUUAUGCGUUCAAAGAUUUGAUGUGACGAAAAAAUUUUAAAAAAAUUGGGAACUAAACAAGGCCUAAACAGGCUGAAAAUAGCUCAAAUGAACCGUUGGCUUCUUUCACUGAAGUGUGUACGAGUACGUGGAGGAGAGAGAGCCCAAAUGUUUGUAGCAGCGAAACAGCUGUAGCAUUGUGUCUGUUUGUCGUCCCACUGGCUGUUGGCCGCCAGCCGGUGCGCCUCCAAUCCAAUGCCCGUCCGUGUGUGCGCGUGUCAGUCACCGGCCAGGGCCAGACGGCCGCGGGUAUUGUUGGUGUGAGUUCACCGAAUAGGGACGAUUGCGACUGCGCACGCGGCGCUGUCGGGGCGAAUAGGGACGAUUGCGCCCCCGAUCGCUGUCACUGACUCCCUUCGGUUUCUGGAAGCCGGCCUGGCCUGGUCACUCAUGCCAUGCGCUGCGGCGUAGUACGUCCAUCCAUCCGCCUCCGACUUGCAUCGUUUCGUGACUGGAUGCAGUGCACCAAAAUGGCCACCCCUGAUGAACGCCUCACGUGUCCAACGUCUCCAACCGCAAAGUGGCACAUGUGGUAUAUUGUAUUGCACCUCCGGCUUCAAUUCCUGGGGACCUGCCGGACCGCGCGCGGUACUAUGGGUGCCGCAACGAGGCGUGCGUGCAUGCACCUUGCCAAGUUUCCAUGGUAUGGUAAGCGCGCAUCGGCCUUCGAUGACUCUUGGGGGAACUUAAUAUUAGCUAGAGACAAACAAAAUCACAGAAUCAGAUCAUGGCAUGGCACGCGAGACAAAAUUACACUACCUCAACAAUGCCAUACACGAGCCUCAAGCUCCAAAAUCAUGGCCAAGCUUGACAUGGGAUAGGUAAAUCUAGUUUGCCACAAUUAAUACUGUGAUCAUGACAUAACUGAGAACUUAGAACUUUCUUCAGACAAAAAAAGUUAUCAAGACACUACAAAGAUUGGUUUAAUUGCUGCUUGGCUAGUUUGUUGCCUAAAAACCGUUUCAAGCAUAACUACAAAGAUUGGUUUAAUUGCUUCAUACAUUACUCAUAGGUCUCAAGCAAACACACUUAUACACCCCUAGGGCUUAAAGCAAACCCACAAAACAAACCCGGGAAACUAAGACUCUUCAUAAAUAGGAUUUAGUUUUGGGGAAUUGAAAAUCAAAGACAAUUUGAAACAAGUCAUUUUAUUUUACAACUUGUGACAAGUACUAAUCUCUAAAACUAUUUUAUUAUUUUACAAAAUAAAACAUUAUGGAAAAAAAAACUUAGGUUAAAAUACUUUAUUUAAGUUAGUCCCAACCUCAACUAAAUCCUAGCUCACCACUAACCCACAACCACAACCCUCUUUAAGCACGCAUGGUAUGACUACAUAGUUGACAAAAUGAAGAUGUGCAUGCCUUCUCUCUAGUCAAUUUCUGUCACCAUCUACCUAACACAUGUGGUUUAGUCUUGGAAAAAUGUAUUUAUGUCAUCUACUCGAAGCACCUCCCUAUGAUAUAUCAAUUUUAAAAAAUGAGCCAUAUAUAUGAUUGAACCUAGUUUGUCACCUUCAUGCCCAUUGUGAGCUUUGAAUAUCAUAGUCGCCUCAGGCUUCUCCACCACAAUUAUGUCGACCAACACAUCUCCUUACCAUGGAUUAUUAUGAAGGCUAGGCCCAAACCUAGCCCCUAAAUCCAUGACCAUGGGGUGGCAUGGAGAACUGUGUCGCCUUCAUUGACCCGCACAUGCUUGUCCACUUUCAUUCUGGUUCUCCUUGAGAUCUAGUACCCUCCCUCGUCUUCUCCUAUCUUGGCUUGUCUUGGACUUGAAUUCGUACCACUGGACAUGCCUUUUCAGGCUGACAUGACUUGAAAAAUAGGUUGACAUGCCAUAUGCUUGGGUUGAGGAUGGAGCCCAUGGAUAGACACGGUGCGACUUGUAAGCACCACCAUGACCUGUUUGGCCCGAUGAAAUCGGGUCAUACUUUUUUGGGCUCAUACAAAGCCCUAACAGGCAACCCAUUUGAAUUUUUGGUUGGACGACUUUAGCAAGCCAGUGAUUGAGAAGUACCAAGGUUGAGAUGAAUGUUUUAUAAAAAGGGGGAAGGUUAGUGCAAACAAAUAAUUAGAUUUCAACAUCAUGGUAAAAAACUUCAUAGAAUUGUGAGAGUGCGCAACGGAAUCCGCCUAGCUCAUUAUACCCAUGAGCCGUAGCUCCUCGGGCCUAGGUCCGCCGAAGCCUGCAACAUACUCAAACAUUAGGCCUAACUCAACCCAAAAGACUAGCCCAACAGGUGAGGAUCACCCCCGGCCCUGCUUUAUAUAUUGUGCUCCCUCAUCAUCAAUUACCAAUGUGGAAUUAAAUCUAACAAUCUCCUCCAUCACACAUCGGAUUCAACUCUUCACAUCAUACAAUACCAUGUGAUCUCCAGAAGAUGUUUUUCAUGCCCCAAGUCCAACGCUCCAUAUCACACAUAAUCCUUGACCUCCGAGAGGUUAACGGGCUCCCCCUAUCAUCAUGUGAUCCUGAGAUUUUCCAUAUUUUCACACCAUGGGUUUCGAUAGCACUAUUAGAGUGCGCAACGGAAUUUGGCCCAGCUUGUUAUACCCACGAGUUGUCAGCACCUCAGGCCCAGGUCCACGGAGCCUACAACAUACUCAGGUAUUGGGCCUAACUCAACCCAAAAAACUAGUCUUAUAGGUGAGGAUUGUCCUCAUCUUAUAUGUUGAGUUCUCCAUCAUCAAUUACCGAUUUAAGACUAAACCUAACAGAGUUGAUGCUUAAAAAGGAUUGUGAAUGAGAAAGGUACACAACACUUUUCAUUUAGUGGUAGAUGAUUAUCUACAACGAUGCAUGUUUGGUGUGUUUGUAAGUCCGCUAUAGGUUCCUACUGCUGUCUCACGAGGACAGUCCCAACCAUUUUCCCCCCUGUCGAUAUCAAAAAGGAAACUAUACGCUAAUUAAAAGGACACACCCAUGCAUAUACAGUGGCGGAGCCAGGAAUUUUAGGGAGCCUGGGCGUGACACAACUCCAAACUAAUACUAAUACUAAGGUCACUUUUAAUGCAGAAACUACAUGCUUUCUAUAUUCAUUAAGUAGGAUAUCAACUAAGUAAAAAGAUGACAUGAUACUGUAAUUAAAAGAAAGAAUGAAAUGGUUUCCUAACAAGAAACCAUGCUACAAACUUUCCAUUAGAGAUAUACUCUCUCUCUCUCUCUCCAAAAAAAAAUUAAAAAGACACUAUGAGAUAGCAACAUUUGUACCACUAUAUAAAUUUAUUAUAAAAUAUAUUCCAUGAUUUAACUAAUAAUAUUAACUAUGCAUUAUAAAUAUUAAUAUUCUUGUAUAUAUAAUUGGUCAAAGUUAAAAAAUGAUUUCUCAGCAAGUAAAUAUAAUAUUAGAAUGGAGAGAGUAGUUUCUAUUUGUAGUGUCUACGUAAAUUAAUAGACAAUAUAGAAUUAUUUAUCGUUUUUAGUAUUGUUAGUGCCCUAACAAAGCUAUGUAAAGUAGAACACAUAAUAAAUACAUAAUAUACAAGAAAAAAGUUAGACAACCAAAAUAGUUUUAAAUUUUAAAGUAAAAUAAUACUAAGUCAUAGGCGGUGCCUGCUAGCUUUUUCCUCAUCUUUGUACAUAGCUUUUCUUUUUAAGUAAUAAGGACGGCAGCUAUUAUUACUAAGUCCCAUCAACAGAUCAACUAUUUGGUCUAAUGUGUUUAACUUGCAGCGCCAACAUAGGAGCCCGGCCACCUGCCCAGGGUGUCCGGGCCUUGGCUCCGCCAGCAUAUCAUCUCCUAGGUACAGAAAUAAUCUUGGUACGUACGGAUAUCACUGGAGAUGAGGACACAAUCUCUCGGAGCAAGCGAUGAUUCAAAGAUUACCCCAAGGCCUCUCGGAUCUGUGCUCAGAUCUGAGCGAGAGGAGACCGGACCUCUGCUAGGGUCUUGUUUAGUUCCAUUUUUCAGAUUUUCCGUCACAUCGAAUCUUUAGACACAUGCAUGAAGUAGUAAAUAGAGACAAAAAUAAAAACUAAUUGCACAGUUUGGUCGGAAUUGACGAGACAAAUCUUUUGAACCUAGUUAGUCCAUGAUUGGACAAUAUUUGUCAAAUACAAACGAAAAAACUACCGUGUCCAUUUUGCAAAAUAUUUUGGAACUAAACAAGGCCUAGCUACGUACCGCAGUCCGCAGCGUGAAGAUCCAGUCGCAAAUUAAAGGUUAACGAAUUGCAUCGAACCCCCUACAGCGCGUGCAAAAGCUGCGUGCGAAAGCAAGACACAAGCAUGCGUUUACCAUCAUCAGGUCAGCUGGUCAGUUUCAGGUCCGGUCCGCGCCCGAUCGUAUCAUCCCUCAUUGGCGCGCGGACGCCGAUCGAGGACGUGCACGAGUCGCCGUACGCGGUGGCGCUUGUGGCUUGGACUUCUCGUUCCCAGAACGGCGGCAGCGAUGAUGAUGCCUGCCUGGCCCCCCGGCCCCCCCGCCCGAGCGUGCCGCGCGCCGGCCAUGCCAUGCGGCCCCCAGCUCUCCCGGCUCUCGUUCGUUCGUUGCGGGCUUGCUGGCGUGUGUUAGAAAGUCAAAACAGAGCAGCAUGCACGUAGAGUGUACGUGGGGGCGACUGGGCGUCACCCGGCUGUGCUCAGCAAAGCAAUGAUGCCGCAUGCCAGCGGAACUGUACGUGGUCCAUGGGUCGAGCCAGCCCCCUCUGUGAACCGGGCAAGCUAGCGCGGUGGGCCGUUAACGCAAACCUUCUUAUAAUUCGCUUAGGCCUUGUUUACAUACGAAAAUUUUUUGGAUUUCGCUACUGUAGUAUUUUCAUUUGUUUGUGGUAAAUAUUGUCCAAUUACAGAAUAAUUAGGAUCAAAAGAUUUGUCUCGCGAUUUACCGGUAAACUGUGCAAUUAGUUUUUAUUUUCGUCUAUAUUUAAUGCUUCAUGCAUGUGCCGAAAGAUUCGACGUGAUGGUUUAAAAACUUUUUGGUUUUCAGGGUGAACUAAACAAGGCCUAGUACUUGAGCACGCUGCGACGCAACUAGAAUCUGGAACGACUACUAUGACGGCUUUGCUUCAAUCUGAACUGUAGUACGUAAUGGCGGGUUGGUCGAGUUUCGUCGAGACGAGAAACCUACUACACGGCAUGCUAUGAAACCGUUUAGAGUUCCUUUGGAUCAACCAUUCCACUAAUGGAUUCAUGAGAAUUGAGGGGGCGCCUGGAUGGACUAAGAGACGGUUCGAGGUUCGUUUCAAAGCAUUGUUUGGUCGAUUCGGUUUCCAUGCUGUCCGCGUGCUCUCUCUCUCUCUCUCUCUCUCUCUCUAGCUCCAGUUCAUGCCAUGCCGUUUGUACCUCGCCCAAAAAACUAGGCACGAUUACGAGGUUCGGGAGCAAUAGAUGGAUGAUGGCCAUGUACUACGUACAAAUAUGCUGCUAGCACGCACUCGGCACUCGGCAGUAGUCACCACGGCCCACGAAGUGAACAACCAACCAACUGCUGGCUUGAAUAGGAUCGAGUACUGACGCCGCACAGCUGCAUGCUGAGCGCCCCACCGGCCACAACGGCGGCGAUUCGAACAUCUACGUUCAAUUCCUCCUCCUUCCAUCGCCCUUUCCCUCUCUGCAACAAAUUGCAGCCAACAACAAGGGCCAGCAGCAUGAUUCACAUGCGGCAACGCGUCGCUCCAAAGACUCCUGUCCCGAUCCUUUCCCGGGUCCCGGUGCAGCGAACCCACGCCCCCCCCCCCCCCCCCCUUCCGUACGAACCCGCCUCGUUUUUUUAACGAGGCCUCGCUCGCGUUUCGUAUCACGCUCACAAAAAAUCGCAGAGCGCACUCGCGAGUAGCGCGGCGUGCACCAAGUCAUUCGCGACCAGCUCCCGUGAUCUGCCGUCCCGUCCUCACCUCCGCCUCCACAGUCCACACGUAUAAAAUGCGCGAGCUGCAGAACCCAACCAAAGAGUAAACAACCGUGUCACGCUCAUGCACGCGUUUUCUCGGUGAGCACACACCACACAGACACAGGAGCCGCCGCCGAGGCGGGCUAAACUGUCUGACCACACGGCACAGGCGUACGUAGCUAGCAGUGGGCGCGAAGCAAGGCAUUAGGCGACUUAUGGCGUGGUCGGAGACGGACGCCGCGCUGUUCGCGGCGGUGCUGGGGCGGGACGCGGCGCACCACCUGGCCACCACGCCGCCGCACCUGGGCGGGCCCGCGGCGUCGGCGUCGGCGUCGGCGCCCGAGCUCCAGGCGCGCCUGCAGGACCUCGUCGAGCGGGGCAGCGGGGCGUGGACGUACGGCAUCUUCUGGCAGGAGUCCCGCGCCGGCGGCCGCGCCGUGCUCGGCUGGGGCGACGGCCACUGCCGCGACGCCAGCGGCGGCGGCAGCGCCUCGGCCUCGCACGACGACGACGACGAUGCGGCGGAGCGGAGCGUGGCGCGGAAGCGCGCGCUGCUGCGGCUGCACGCGCUCUACGGCGGCGGGGACGGGGACGACGAGGGAGCCGACUACGCGCUCCGCCUCGACCGGGUCACCGCCGCCGAGAUGUACUUCCUCGCGUCCAUGUACUUCUCCUUCCCAGAGGGCGCGGGCGGGCCGGGCCACGCGCUCGCGUCCGGCCGCCACGCCUGGGCCACCGUGGACCCCCACCACCCGCGCGGACCGGGCGCCGGUGCCGCGCCCGCGUGGUACGUCCGGGCGUCGCUCGCCCAGUCCGCGGGGCUCCGCACCGUCGUCUUCCUCCCGUGCAAGGGCGGCGUCCUCGAGCUCGGCUCCGUCGUGCCCGUCCGCGAGACUCCCGAGACGGUGCGCGCAAUCCAGACCGCCCUCGCUGUUGCGCCGCCCCCGGCACGCGAGGAAUGCAUGAGAAUCUUCGGCAAGGACCUCUCCCCCAGCGGCCGAACCCCGCGCAGCGGCGACAAUUGGGCUCCACAGCAGCUCGGCGUCCAAGCCACGGCGUCCAAGGAAGCCGCCGCCGCGAGACCCAAGGCUCCGGAGCCGCCGCCCAGGAGCAUAGACUUCACCAAGCCGCCAGGAAAGCCCGAGCAGCAGGCCGGUGUCGGCGAGGAGCGGAGGCCGCGGAAGCGCGGGCGGAAACCCGCGAACGGGCGGGAGGAGCCACUGAACCACGUGGAGGCGGAGCGGCAGCGGCGGGAGAAGCUGAACCAGCGGUUCUACGCGCUGCGCGCCGUGGUCCCCAAGAUUUCCAAGAUGGACAAGGCGUCGUUGCUCAGCGACGCCAUCGCGUACAUCCAGGAGCUGGAGGACCGGCUCCGCGGCGGCGGCGGGUGCUCGGCGGCGCGCCCGGAGAGCCCCGCCGUGGAGGUGAAGGCAAUGCAGGACGAGGUGGUGCUGCGCGUGACGACGCCCCUGUACGCGCACCCGGUCUCCAGGGUGUUCCACGCCAUCAGGGACGCCCAGCUGAGCGUGGCGGCGUCGGACGUGAGCGUGGCGGACGACGCCGUGACGCACACGCUCGUGCUGCGGUCGGCCGGGCCCGAGCAGCUCACCGCGGAGACGGUGCUCGCGGCGAUGUCACGGGGGAUGACCAGCGCCACCCCCUCCCCGUGACUUUCUGUGUGUACUGUAGCGGUAGCCGUAAGUCGUAACCGCACUCGCCUCGUGCGUGCAACUGCCAGUCGUUAGUGCAAGUUGUUUUUUCCUUGUGACUGCAUGCCGGCCACGUAGUAAAGCCAUAGAAAAUGGAAUGGCCAGGAUUAAAUUUACUGCUCGUUUCCUAGCUAGUUUUACAUUUGGAUUGGAUUUAUCAGAUGAGAUUCGUACACGUAGUAGGCACAGUUUGACAGUCUGUUGUUCCUCUAGCUACUCCUACGUAAGGAUGAAAACGGAAAUGAAAAUUUCUGACCGAAUCGUAUCGUUUUCUAUAUUUGAUCUGAUCGUUUUCACUUUUCUCAGAAUAAUUCAAAAACGGUACGAAAUUCGGUAGACAAAUUCGAAAACGGUGCGGAAUUCGAAAUAGGCUUAUUCGACUGUUUUCUACUUUUCUUCAUUAUAUUCGAAAUUAUACGUAUUCAAAAUUCGAAAAUAACCGAAUUUGGCCCAUAAUCUGUAGUCCCCCUCCCCCACUACCACUGCCAGACUUUUCCUUUCCGGCCCAGCCCAGUAACACAAGUACACAACCCUAAAUCCCUAAUCCACUCGGCCACCCGCACCCUCCGGCCUCCACUCGACCACGACGCAAAGAGUGGCGGCGCCCCUAUUUAUGGAUGUUGUAGGAUUGUAGGAAAAAUUUGUAGAUGUUGGAUAGUUUUGUUUAUCUAAUUUAGCAAUGUUUCACUUGGGUGUUUGUAGGAUCAGGAAGUAAAAUGUCAUCUCAAAGUGUUUCACUUACUAGUUUGGUGACUAUGUACUUGUGUGUCAGUUAACUAUUAUGUGCACUUGAACUAAAUCAUGCACUUGUUAGUUUGGUCAUGCACUUGUUUAAAACUAUGCACCGUGAGUUGGUAUUUCGUAUUCAAUUUUCGUACAUCGACCGUUUUCAACAUAAUUCCGAUCGAAUUGGUUCGUUUUCGAAUACCGUAAUUUCGCUUUCGUUUUCGUUUCUGACUAUACCGUUUCGGUUUUCAUGUUCGUAUUUAAAUAUAAAUAUAGAAAACAAUAGAGAAGUUUUUCGACCGUUUCCGACCGUUUUCAUCCUUACUCCUACGUAUAGUUUCCUUCGUUCUUAGAAGACGCUCUGUGUGUCCAACCUCCUACUCCUAGUAGCUAACUGAUACUCCAUUUGUAGCUUGUCGUAACUCGUUUGUGGAGAUCAAAUCUACUCCAUUUGAUUUGGUGUGCAAGAAUGUACUAUGUGUCAAUGUGUGUGUGUCACUGUAUGAAUGUUCCUUGUCCACUCCUACCUUGGCCUUGUUUAGUUCUAAAAAAUUUUGUAAAAUACGAAUAGUAUCACUUUCGUUUGUAUUUGACAAAUAUUAUCCACUCAUGUACUAACUAGACUCAAAAGAUUCGUCUCUUCAAUUCCGACCAAACUGUGCAAUUAGUUUUUAUUUUCGUCUAUAUUUAAUACUUCAUAUAUACGUCUAAAGAUUUGAUGUGACGGAGAAUCUGAAAAAAUUUGUAAAAUUUUUUGAAAACUAAACAAGGCCUGUGGGAAUCAAAUCAACUGCGGAGUUUUUGGGCACAUCAGCUCACAUGUGCUGUUUACUUUGACGAACCGAGACCGAUUGUAUCACCGGCUGACCGGCAGCGCGUUUUCUGCAUUUCACGUCGCUAGCGCCAAGGCGCGCGCGGGCGCGGGGGGCACCGGUCCGAAUGUUUUCUUGUUCCUCUACGAAAACCCGCGCCGCGUCUCCGGCUCCCCGCGUGGUGGUCAAGCCUGGGCGUCGCGUGCGCGCACACUCGUCGUCGUCGAUUCGUCGAACGCGUCUCCUCCUCGAAACCGCGGCUGGCCCCCAAAGUCACCGAUGGCUCCCGCGCCGCUGGUCGGCAGGUGGUCGUUGUUCGCCGCGCGCGAGGACGAAGUCCAGAGCCCCGCGUCCGCGGCCCGCCCCCGGCCUCCGGCCCGAGCGGACGGGACGCGGGAGUGCGGGACGCUAGCGGCCGUGACCCACGCUUUGGCGGGACGUGUGGGCAGCGCAGCUUCCGAGCGAGACUUUCGUGUAAAAGCGACGCCGCGCGAAUGGACGCCGGACAGGCGCGCGACGCCCUGUCGGGGCUUGCUUGUACGGACGGCUGAUGGGGCUAAGGCGACAUGACGUGAGUGGCUGGAACUGGGGCCAGGGGCGGCGCCGGCGUCAGUCAGGGUGGGAUCCGCCGAUCAGGCAUUGUAUAGCCGGAUGAACGAAACGUAUAAGGCGCCGCCGUCCGGACACGAUGGACGAUCCAUCAGAUGCGACGUGCCAGCAGACAACCUUAAACGGGCAGCCUUUCAGAGGGGGAUGUUCCUGUUCGCGUGCGUGUCGUACUAGUACCUUUGAUGUGUCGAACCACUGUCGCGCCAUCGGAAAGACUGCGCUCCUCUCGGUGGAAUUCUCCGGUGGCCGACGCGUGUCUGGCUUUAACCGAACUCACCGGCGAGCGCAGCGGCCUUGUCACGGGGUCUCGACCGCCGCAGAAAUUGAAGGAAAAAAAAGGGAAACACAUCGGAUUUGCCUCGGGUCAGGGUACUUUGUGCGGUGGUUUCGUUGAUUAAGAACCAUCGGUUAUUGGCCCCAAACCACCAUCCUGCACUACUGAGGUUUCUAUGGUACUGGCUGUACCUAGUACUACCUACUGUUCAGUAUUCAUUCUCUCUCUGAGCCCCUGACCAAUUUGGAGAAGGAAAACCGGAAAACAGACGGCGCCCAAGGAGCGCGCGAGACAACCAACGUACGUCGCGUUGCACGUGCACUCUACUACUCUGCAAGUUGCAUGCCCACGGGCUAAACGAUUCGACAAUCGCAGCACGGCCGUGGCAACAUUCAUGGUCCUUGCAGUUGCAGGUCGUGACCGUGCGUCGCAGCAUGGUGCUGCGAACCACGGAACCAAGGCCCUGUGGUCUGGGUACACUGUACCGGAGGAAAAAGAAACGAGCCACCGCCAACAGUACAUAGCUUGGCCUUGGUACGCUGGUACACUAGAACGGGGCCCUCGUCGAUGAGGAUGGAAAUAUUCCGUCGGACACUGCUUUGUAUUUUUGUGACAGGUGGGUCAAAGUAGUAGCCUUUUUUCAGACAAAUUCCAAACUCUAGCAUUGUAAUUAUAUAUUUUGGGACGAUAGAUGUUUGAAAUUUUGAUUUAUUAGAAUCUGUAUCCAUUAAAACUUGUAUAUGAAUGUUUUAUUCAUACUAGUUUCUAAUAUAAACACUAAAUAGAGGUAUUUGAAGUUGUUUUCUAUUCGAUUUGAGAUCCCUAUUAGAAAAUAUCUAAUAUCAUCUGUAUCUGUGAAGAAUUUAAUACUCGAUGAAACUAUCUAAAAAUUGUUCAUGUGACUAAAUUUAUUUCAUAAUAUAUUACUAAUAUGUACCAUUGAAACUAUUUAAAUUCAAUGAGUAAUAAUACAGGGUAUAUAGAUAAAAAAGUGAUAUUAAUUUAAUUGCUAAUUAUGUUAAUUUCAGUUCAUAUGCCCGCGGUAGCUUUUUUAAUAGUUGAGCAUUCGGCUUUAAAAGGUUAAAACUAUCCAAAAGUUGUGUGUACAAGUAAUUAUUAGUAGCUCAUGUGUUAUCUUAAGUACUAAUGACACACACAUAAUUAAUAUGGUUAUUGGUUUAUAAUUUAUAUAGACAUUAUGGUUACUGAUCGAUUUACACUGAUAAUAACAUAAUAAUUUGUAUGGGUAACAAUGUACUCCCUUCAUCCUACAAUAGAAGGUAUUGAAAGAUUAAAACUUGUCCCAAAUAAGAUAUUCUAGCCGUGAAAUUAAUACACUUCAAAGCACCAAUUGCAUGCAUUCCUACCAUUAGUUUCACCACCAUGUUUAAAAUAUGGUAAGCAUAAGAUCUCUAUUACAAUUAAGAAAGGGUUACACGCGUUAUUUAUUUUAUCCUAUAGUUUUUUUGAGAACAUUUUUAUCUUAUAAUUUGUCCUAGCAUUCUUAAGAUACCUUGUAUUUCAUGAUGGAGAUUGGAGGGAGUAGUUCUAUUAUUUUGCAUCUCAAUAGAAUUUAAUAUAGACAACAAAGUUAAAUGGAUAUUGGAUCACUAUCUAAAUUAUUAGUUUCGUAUAAAUAUCCAAUGUAUUCAGAUCCAUGCAUACUCAUAUCUAAUAGUACGUACUCCCUCCAUUCCAAAUUUGUUUUAACGUACUUUUUUGGACACAAUAUAUAUGUGAGAAUCCAGAAGAACUAAAACAACUUAUUAUUUGAUGAAACGAAGGGCGUAAAAAAUAUAUGAUAAAUAAUGGCAUUCAUGCUCCUGUGUCCAUCCGUUUCCAUCUCUCCUCUCGUUCAUAGUACGCCGGAGUUACAUGGAUGGGUCCGUGAGUCCGUCCGAUUGCAUUCCAUGCAUGCAUGUGCGACCUACGAUGGCGCCACAGCAGGACGGGACACGUGAGGAGUUAGGCGGGUGGUCACUGCUCAGUCCUCCUCACUCUCUCGUUGUACGGCCGGGGGGGCCGAGAACUCGUGCACGUUAUCACUCUUGUUUGUUCUUUCUAGCUCUACUACAUACUCCUACAGUACAGUACGUCCUACUAUAGACUAUAUACAGGUUAAACGCACCGGUGCGCAGCGUACGUGCGCAUGUGGCCGGCGACAACGACGCUGGCUGGCCGCCUGUGGCCGGCAACAACGACGCUGGCCACCUGUGGUCUGUCCAGCUAACGCUAGAUGACAGACGACCUGCUUGCUCCGCUGUGUUGUCUAGUCCGGAUUUGCCUUGCAUGCAUGGUGGUGGCGUCAUCAUCUUGCUUGUGGAUGGACUCUGCACCUGCACGGGACUCUGCAGUCCAAAUUAAAGCUACACAUGUUGACUGUGGAUGAUCUUGCUUGUGCCCGCUGCACCUGCACGGAAUCUAGUCUAGAUCCUGGAAAGGAACAAAUGAAAAAAAAUAUCUGAAAAUUACUCCGUUUUCCGUCAAUUCCAGUUCCCCCAACGUCCAACGAGACGUUGUUUUCGGUGUACUUUGAUCACUCACGCAACCACCGUAUACACCCGUGAUAACUGAAGGAUAGUGAAGAGGAUGAACCAAGUGAUGCAUGCAUGGGAGAGAUCAUCAGGCCAGGCCAGGAACCAAAACACAUGCAUGAUUGCCUUGUGGUGGCCAAUAAUAUCAUAUCUACUCUUAGACAUAGGUGGCACAGCAAAAUGAGGUCGCUUCACCACCUAAAGAGAUAGCCAACGUGCACAUCGCAAAUUCGCUGUUUGCCAAUAAUCUGCGCGUCCCCUGUGCAACAGAGCAGACAUUCAGACGGCACUCUACUCUUGACAUGCAUGCAUGCAUGCAUGCAUGCAUCUCGAUAUAUUUGCCCUGGGCUUCUGCUUCUGCACCGAUACAUUUCUCCAUAUGCAAUGCGUGCGACUUUCCUCGAGAAACCCUUUAUUAUCCAUCUACGUCUGGGCACAUGGAAUUAAUGGAAUGGUAAAAUGUCUGCUGACGACAACCUAAUAGUUGACCACCAGUGGCACAACGCACUCAUCACUCAUCAGCUUCUAGAGCGUUGAAAUUUGUCGUACUCGUCCUGUUCAAUAGCAGGCUCCCAGCCGUAACUGAAGACUGAAGUGCAGGGAUCAGCAGGAAUACUUGCAAUCGCGAUGCAAAUAAUUAACGAGAGACGUCGUGGACUGCUGCCAGCUAAGGUUAGGAGCAACCACACCAUAUAUAUACUGUAGCAUUUUUUUUUUGAAGACACAAUACAUCUCCAAGUUACAUAUAAAAAACUAAAAAAAAAAGAUAUAAUAGUUUAUUUAGAUUCUUCCAUACACUUUUCCCUAGUAGCCGUUGUUGAUGCAUUUGAUGCCUAGACAAACGGAGCCCAAAUGAACAAAUUAAGAAGGCGGAGUAUAAUCCUCAGGUAAAGUUUAUUUUAUCCUUAAAGACAUGUGCCCUCACUCUCCCACGUAUUGGAUUCGCUCUCUCAUGUGAAACUACUUUGAGAUGUGUGUUUGCACACUUCUCAAAGCAAAUCCAAUGGACGGAAGAGUGAGAGCAUGUGCCCUUGAGGGAAAAAAAAACCACCCUUGACCCAUCAAGUUAGAUGCCUGAUUUUCUUAUUGGGAGUUCCUAUGAGCAGCAUUCCCCUUGCAGACAGUGACACCUGACUGCAAAUUGACCUUCUACCGAUGAAAUCGACCGUAGGAAAUUAGGAAUAUCGUUGGCAUCUUCAAAAGUCAUUACAAUUAACAAGGUUUCUGCCAAACAUCAGUGAUGCUGUUGCCGGUCUAUUUACUUUUCAUAAAAUACAUAAAUAAAGAAUCCAUGUAAUACACAAUUAGUGUAUGCAGAUUUCAAAUAAAAAACAAAAGGUUAAUAGUUUAAUCUCCAAAUUAAUUUAAAUAAAAACAAAUAAAUAGUCCACAUAAAUCAUAAUUAGUACAUACUUAAAUUCAAAUUUUAAACUAAAAAAUAUUUCGAUUUUCAUAUAUUGAGAAAGGCAUAUCAAUAAGAGGUCAAUGUAUUAUACUAAUUAAAAAAGAUAAUCUUUUCACUCUCAUUGCCUAAAAAGUACUACGCUUAUACUACAAGUCCAGGUUGUAAUGAUCUAGAUUUGUCAAAAGAUAUAUUAGAAAAUACAUAAAGUCUCCAAUAUGGAUGGAAUAGUAUAUUUAAAAAUAGUAGUGUUGAAUUUAGUUUAGCUACAACUGGAUUUACUAUGGCAUAAAAAAAGAAAACCACUGUAAACAUUUAUAUAAAGGGUACACAUAUGAGAGCUGUCCAACCAAAACACUAGGGGGUGUUUGGUUGGGAUUGAUAAAGUUUAACCGAUACUGUAAUAUUUUUGUCUUAUUUGAAAAGUAUUGUCCAAUCAUAGACUAAUUAGGCUUAAAAGAUUCGUCUCACAAAUUACUCUCUAGUUGUGUUUUUAGUUUCAUAAAUAGUCUAUAUUUAGUACUCCAUGCAUGUGUCCAAACAUUUAAUAUGACGGACGGUAAAGUUUAUUGGAGUAAACCAAACACCCCUUAAUGCCUCGGAAUACCCAUGAAAAAUCAUUGAUAUAUUUCUAAUCCCCAUGCCACCUCUCCCGUCAUACUUUUUGCCUUGUUAUCUCAACACAUCCUCUCGUCGUUCCUCCUGAGCUUGCUGAGAGGAUCUCGGUGAAGUUAUGUCAUAUCUAGAAUUUGUAGAAAAGACGCGUAAAUAUCACGUGGGUCUAGUAAAGUGGGAACUUGUUUUAAGUUUUCAAACCUUAUCAGGCCUUGUUUAUUUUUGAUUUUUUUUUGAUUUUCGGUACUGUAGCACUUUUGUUUUUAUUUGACAAUUAUUAUCCAAUAAUAGACUAACUAGGCUUAAAAGAUUCACUCAUGAUUUAUAGACAAACUGUGUAAUUAGUUUUUGUUUUCGUUUAUAUUUAAUGCUUUACGCAUUGAUGCAUAUGGCCACAAAAUUCAAUGUAACGAAGAAUCUUGAAAUUUUUUUGUUUUGGGGUGAUCUAAACAAGGCCUCAUAAUGCUUUUUGCUGCUUGCAGUUGCAGGCAGAUGUUUGUUAUUCUUUGACAUGACGGGCGGUGGUUUUAUAUUGUCAUGGUCAGCAACGUGCAGCUUGUGUGGCGACGUUAGGCACGGGCGUGCUACUAAUAAUAUACAGAUGGAAAGAUGCCGUCGUUGCGACUUGAGUCACGGACUCACGGUUCUCUUCUGUCCUUCUUGUCUCUUGCAGAAGAUUCUGUUGCUUCUGAAUUGACUCACAAUUGAGAGGUUCAUAAGCUUACGUAUUGCUGGUGUAAUUUUAUUUACCAGAUCGCGUGCAGGUAUGAGAGCAUUUUGUCAUUUUUUGUGAUUUUUUUAAUGAAAAACGAACCCCCAAAACCCGGCAUUUUCAGUACUUUACUGGCGUAGCUUGACAUCAAGAUUGCUGCUAGUUUUGGCUGAUGCGUAAACAAGCAAUUGAUGGAUGUUCCUUCGACAAUCUAUUGUGGCCAGGCAAUUCAAAUCAAGCCGAAGAAAUGGUCCCAUUAUCGUGAGUCCUAUAAGUUAUAGGUACAACAUCCCAAAUGUUUUGUACACCCUCUUUUGACGGGGAGUAAACUAGCAUAUCUUACCAAGAAUCUUGCAGAAUUUCACUUGAAAUAAUGAUGCUCCCGUAGAAAUCAUGAAGUUAUUCUACAUAUUCAUUCAGUCCCCCCCCCCCCCCCCCCCCCUUUUUUUUUUUGCGAAAGAGGAAGCUAAUAUUACAGGGAUUUCACGUGAAGCAAUAGUGCAAUGCAACGCCCUAAGGGCAAUUAGGGACCAAAGCACACUGUGCUUCAGUCCUUGGCUAGCGCAAGCUCACAUCUCGAUUCCCUGUGAUUCGUACGCAACUAAUUGAUGGAGUUUUGUUUGUUUCCUCUGAUAAGCUCUUGUGGUCAAGGAAGCAGUUCAAAUCAAAGGGUAAAGAUGAUUCCAGCCUAGAGAAUAGAGAGUAGAGACCCGCUAGACUGAUGCGUUUCGCCUGGAAGGCUGGAACCCAAGGGUCCGGGACAAGAGCUUCCAGCAGGCAGCGGCGAGCUUGUCCCUGGCAUAAUGGCAUUGGCAAAAUAUUUAGAUAGACAAAUGAUCAUAGUUGUUCGCACGUCUACUCACGCAUCUUGCUAAAUGCUAAUCGCCUUUUCGAAAAAAGAACAAGAUUGCUUAGAGCUAAAUAAACUUAUAGUACGACCCCUGAGAAAACUAGCUGGACACUGCCAUUGCUGACCCAAACAUGACAUGAAGCUCUUGUAGCGACGAGAGAGGCUACGUAUAAGAUAAUCGGUUGGAUAUUAAUUUCAAUCCACGAGAGGUUAUGUUAGCUACACCUGUGACUCAACGUGAUAGCGACAUGUAACACAUGCAACACGAACGGGAAGGCGGCUUUUCUGAAAGGUGUCUUGUGUUGCUGUCACUCUUGCCACACCAGAGAGCAAAACUUAAAUCCCAUGUGCUGACAUGGAAUGGAACACUUACCGAACUUGUUUGUAAUUCAGACAGCCCUGCUACAGCGACCUAUAUACAGUAGAUCACGGAUCAUGCACAGCUCUCUGCAUCGAACCCUUUUACAAAUUUUUGAUGUACUAUGGAGAGCCUGAACGCCUACGGGAGGCAAUUAGAGAUUGCAUGAUCAUAAUGUGGAAGGACAAAACCUCAGUAUUGUUCAUGCCAGCCUUUCCAAUAUCGGCAGCACACACAAAUAUAAUGGAAAAAACUGGAAAAAGAACUUCAUGAACUUGCGCACACAUUCCCGAUUAUCACAUAGCAUGGGAACUGCAGGCCACCAUAAUGGUGGAUUACUUGUUAGUAGCAAAUAUUCCAAACUGUUACAGAGUCGUCUACAUCCUACACAUGGCACAAGUGAAGCCUGUUUACAGAACUUGGAGCUCUUACAAGCCCACAUAGGGCCCUCGUUAAGGGUCACAAAUAGGCCUUUUGAUUUGCUACAGGCAAAAGAAGAGGGCUCCUAAAACAAGUUCUCAGUCUGAAUCUUCAAACUUUUUUAUGGCAUCCUCUAUUGCAGGUACAGCAUUGCAAAAUGCUUCCCACUGCUCCAUCGUCAUACUAAUACCUGCACCAGGAAAAAUGUUAGUAAAGAAGAGAAGAAAGGAGAUAAACAAUGACACAAAAAAACAAGUGCACCACAACAUAAAACAAAGAAAUGAAAGGUUACACCGCGCUUUGACAGAUUGAAAAGCUAAUUAUUGUAUUUGCAGUGUUUCUCUAUAAAUAAACCAUUUAUGAAACAUAGAUAACACUUAAAAAAGGACCUUAUGUCGAUAUCGCUAUUCAGUUCUAAAUUCUCUCCUACUUAAAACAUUUGUAGUGCUUCAGAUCACCCUUCGUUUGUCACCCACAUCAAUUGGCGCCGAAAGGUGGGCCCUUGAGUCCCUCCCUUGUCUGUGAAUCCCCUUCCUCGCUCUAUCGCUCCUGCCUUACCGCCUACACGUGCCUCCAGCCCUCCACGGCUCCACCCCUACCUCCUGCCGCACCCGCCUUUGUGACGGUCACGCCUGCUCACGCUGCCUACUGCACCUGACUCAGGGACGGCAGCACCCACCCACGCCUCCGCCCCGCAGCUGACUGUGCCCGCGACUCUAGCCCCAUGGGGUAUGCCGCCGCCUGCCACCCACCGCUCGAGAUCCCCAAACCUCUAGGCAUAGACACGGGCCAGGUUGGUGGAGAUGGUGAGGGGGAGUAGGGAGGAGAUGACACCGGGGUGGAGCAAGUGAUAAGGUGUCUGCGGAGGGGGACGACUGGCUGCCAUGGAGGUGGAGGUGGCCUUCUAUUGUCGCCAGUCCCCAAUCCCACCAGGACAUCCCGCAUGCUGUAUUUCUGCCUGGGUCAGUCGGUCGGACCUUGACAACUGUUUGCCCUGUCUCUUUGCCUUGCACCUUGCAUGGCAGCGGCGACCCUACAGCAGCGCCCUUGGACAGCGCCAAAUCCCUUCUAGAACACUUCCUUUAUCCACCUACUAUCUUUUGAUUUUGAGUAUAAGGAUGCUGGCUGGCAGUCACAUGAUUUGUAAAAUGUAUGCCUGUGUUUAUGGUGGUUUGAGGUACGUUGAGGAUAGGCACGAUGGCAACAGUAGUCUGUCACUGGGUGCAGGUGGUUGUGUAGCGUCAACAUUGGCGCUGGGUGGCUCCUGCUCCUUUUCUGUUGCAACAUGGCGUGCUCGUGGUCAAGUGCUCUGACAAUGCCCACUACCUCAAGGAGCUACGAUGCUCAACCAGCUACAGUUGGAGGUAGAAAUGCCUGCUACCUAAUGGAGUAGUGCCCUUUGGAAGCUGAGCUGAUGUGAACUGUGAAAUCGCUAGAAAUUCUGUCUACCAGUCAAAUGUUUUUUUCUCGAAAAAGUCUACCAGUAAAAUGCUCCUCACAUCAGGGUUGAAUUUGAACACAUUGUGUGCACCUCGGUAUUUAAUGGUGUAUCUUCAUAUGCUUAUAUAAGUUAGCUUGUAUAUGUUUACUAUCUUCUCCUUGCUCUAGACUGCAGCCUAGAAAGAAUAAAUGGAGUUGAUACAUUUCGGACAAGUAAAACUACCGAAAGAAAUUGAUAGGUGAAGACUACGAGAAUUGUGAUGGCGUGGCAGUGGUGGUGGCUGGUGUAAACAUGAUCCUGCUUUUUGACGAAUCUCUUAAUUGCAGAGGUAUAAAAUAUUAUGUUGCAUGCAUAAAACCUAUGUAUCAGGAUAAUUUUAGCUAAUAUUUAAUUAUCUUUUCUUGAAGUGCUCAGGCUACACAGCAUUCUAGAAGGCCUAUUAAAUCAAUUUGCAGCAGGAUGAAAGCUAAAGAAGGCCGGAUUAGAGGAAACUUAAUAUCCAAGAGUGUUGAUUUCUCAGCCAUACUGUAAUCACACCAGAUCCAAACAUAAAUAUGAUGAAUUGGGGUACCAUGGAGUAUUGCUUUGAACCUGACUUAUGCUAAAACUGUAACUCCAUAUAAUAUUGAGAGGUGGACCAGUUUGUUUUUGUUGACUUCUUAUUUAAUUACUCUGCUUUCGCUAAUCAUUUGUAGCUAAACCCAAUGAUUUCGGGUUGAAGGGACCUGUCGAAUAUGGGCUAAAUCUGUGUCCAGUUAAAUCUGAAUGUUACUACUCUACUGAAUCUGUGUCCAACCCUUCUUUUCAGCAGCAGGAAAGGCAGGCGCGAUCCGACUUCCCAUUUGUGCCACACUGUCCCGGAAGGUAAAUCUUUCAUCUACAUUUUGAAGAUAACAGGUGUACUCCUUGAUGGACAUUUUUCAAUAAAGACUAAAGACAAUACAUAAAUGGCAAAUAUAAGUAUCUCAAUUCUUCUAGACUUAGAUACUGUGUUUGUGGUUGGACAAAAAAAGGUAAACUGAAACUUCUUCUGUUCUGAGGUCUUGGAAUGAAGCAUCACACACACCAUGACCAAUAAUAUUGGAUUCUAAACUCACUUCAAAGGUGACUGGAAUGGGGAAGAGUCCAUGGAGGUGCUAUGCCAACCUUUCUUAUACUCCUUUUUUAAUAUUAUUGUUCUGAGAAAUUGUAUCAAUGGGAAUUCAGCUUCAGACUUAAUGAAGGCUGCAGCCAAUUUUGUUGGCAAAUUUAACCAAGUGCACUAGAUGUUUAGUCUGCUGGUUCAUUGGGUUUAUUUUCACGUUCUCUGUUAUUAGUGACCAGAUUGGCUCGGAGGUCUCGAUACCCUAUGGGAGCUCAGGAGCUGCGGUGAGUGGCAUCGGAGGGCAACUAACCGGCAAAACAAUGUAUACCCUUGUUUAGAAGGCUAAAGGGAUUGAUUGUUAGAGCAUGAUGGAUAAAAGUGAUUGAAUGUUAGAGCCACAGAUUAUCAGAGUGUGACUGAGUGUUUAUAAGGCUUAAGGGAUUGUUUGUUAGUCACCUUUGGCGGAGGGCAUCUCCUUGCCAUCCUUCACGUAAAACUCGCGGAUGGACACCAGUGACCUGCCUUUGAACUCCGACAGAGUCACCCUCCUCUUGUUCGACAGCUGUACGCACAAAUCUACAUCAGCCACAAAACCCUAGCAUAUAAUCGGCAUCGAUCGAACAAGCGCGAGAGAGGAGGUACGGGAGAAGGAACUCACGCGGCACAGGAUAAGGUCUCCUUGGUCGUCGUACUCCCUCUUCCCGCCGCCCUUACCUUCCUCCUCCUCAUCAUCUUCCUCCUCUUCCUCCUCCUCUUGUUCCUUGUCCUUGCUCUCCCUGCCAGCGCCGCCCUGCUCCUCCUCCGCCUCCGCCUCCUCCUGGGAGGAGAGUGAGCGCAGGUAUUCCUCAACGACGCCGCGGACGAAGAGCUUGCGGUCGGGGGUGGAGAGGUCGAUGCCGAGGCGGUCGGCGGCGGCUUUGCGUACCUUAUACUCCGUUACGGACUCCAUAUCGGAGCCCCGGAGGAUCUCCAGCACCGCAGCCUCCACCUUCUUCUUCGUUGCCUCGUCCAUGCCGACGCCGCCGCCCAACUGACGCCAACACUUCUGCUCCCUUCGCCGGAGUUGGGGAGAGAGUACUGGUCGCACUUCUGCUCUGUGCGACGCCAACGAGAGGUUUGGGGAAGGACGAGGGGAUUCGUGGGCCACGGGUGACAGUUGUUGGGUCCUACGGCUGUGAGUCUUGGGCCGGCCCAUCCAUUUUAGUUUGUUCGGCUUUUGUCUCGUCAAUUUGGGCCUUUGUUAGCCUGAACUCCACCCAACUUUUCUUCCCGAAUAAAAAGAUGCCUUUUUUUGUUUUGUUUUCAUCGGCUAAUAAAAGGCACCGGAAAAUGUCGUUGUCUUUUAUAAAUUUGCGCUUCCAUUUCCACCGGUAUCAUCAUCAUUUGCCAAGUUGGCAACCUUAAUGCCUUACGGGCUAAGUUUGUUGGAUUCUGUUACAUGUCCAUGUGAUGGAUUGGUGUUCUCGCUAGUUGGCAAGGCACCGUGCACAUUUAUAUUCACCAGCGUGUCGUUCUCUCCCCUGAUGACCUUAAUAGAGCAAUGCGACCAUCCUGAUUAGAGCAUGCCAAAUCGCAAAAAGAAAAGAAGAAGAAGAAGAUUAGGGCAUGCCAUGUUGCUGAAACACAAUCAAUGGCAACUUUUUAGACAAUAAAAAUUGCUUUGAAACGAAGUCAGUUUAGUUUCCGCAAGUUAUGAGAACAAAUUCCAGAUUAUAAAGAUAUCUAAAAAAAUACUCGUGCCCAUGUGUAACAUCCCAAAAAUUCACAUUCAAAAAUCACUCGCAUUAAAAAAUUAUUUUCAAAAUAUAUUUCAAAAACUAUAAAUCAUUUGAGCUCUAUAGUAUCUCCAUCUAAUUCUUUUUCCAUCCAUUCUAAUUAUCCAUCUUUAAAUAUAACCUGCACCGCAUGGCAUGAGCAUCAUAUGUCCGCUACUUAUCCCUCUUGCUCGCUCGCUCUGCCCGAUACCCGGCAACGGCGCGUGCGCCGACCCCACCACCAUCAGCGCCGCAGCGCACUCACGUCCGGCCCCCUCGCCGAGCGCACUCGCUCGCGCGCGCACCGCGGCAUGCGGGCCCCACCUCUUGCCUUUUCCCGCGCCUCUUUUGCUGUACAAAAAGAUAGCAAGUACCAGCAAGCUUACAUGCGAGAAAACAUAGCAGUGCACCUACACGAAUAUAUAUCUCAUACAUGCAUGCAUGCAGGACAAGCAUGUCACCGUCCAUUUGCAUGCACCUGCAUGCAAAGGACAUGGUGAUUAGGCACCGUCCAUUUGCAUGCAACGUGCAUGCAAAUGAGACAUUGCCAUUUGCAUGAAAAUUAGGCACCGUCCACCGUCCUGUCGUCCUGUGUAGCCAUGCACUACAGUAGCAAUUCUAAUGGCACGAAGCUGAGCACCAGAGGCAUAACCUCACUCCUUCGGCCUAUAAAAAGCCAGCCUCGGGUGCUCACUCUCACCACCCGAGAAACACGUUCACUCACUCGCUCUCACUUCGCGUAUACCGUAUACGGCCAUACGCACAAGCCGAGCUCGACUGUCGUCGCAAGACGAGGUGAGCAGCUCAUGAGCAUCUCCUUGCUCUUCUCUGUCUUUCUGUAGUAUUUUUCUGUAUUUUUCCAUGUAUUUGUUUGUACCGGUUCACUGCCAAGAACUCCACGAAUAGAACCAUGACAUACAGAAGAGUUCUAAUGACCCCUGCUAAUUUCUCUCUAACCAUGCAUGUGUGGGCCAAGCAUUAACUCCAAAUAGUACAUGCAUGCAUGCAACAUGCACUACCAGCCAAACAAAUGCCCACGUGAAGCAUCCAUUCCUUAAUCAUCGUUAGCCUUUUUCGCAUGAUUAAAUUCCGGCCAUUUCACAAAUGCCAUAUGCUAACUCUGAUUUUAAUAACUCUUUUUUCUAAAUUCAUCUAAAAUCAUGAUCUACCUCCCAUAUUAAUUUCAUGAUUUUUGGAGCUCAUUUGAAUUUAUAUGAUUAUUUAUCUGUGCCUGUUGUCUGUAUCGUUCGUCGCGUAUUUUAGUUGACGGAGUGAACGAGCCAGAGAACGAGAACGUUGGAGACGAGUACCGCGAGUUUGACGCCGAGGACCCGGACUGUCAGCAGGAGUUUGCCGAGGACGCCGACGGAGGCAAGUCCAACCGAUCCCCUUUGAUGCAUAUUGAUCCUAUUUUUAAACACAACCCGUAGAAGCCGUUUUAAAUAUUGCAUGUACGAUAUAUGUACGAAGUAUUUUCGCUGCUUAGUUAAAACCUGUUGAAUAGCCAUCCUUGAAUUGAUAUUACCCGAUAAUUGUCUUGUUCGAACCUAGGAACAAAUAAUAUGCUAUGACAGAAAUAUUAUUAUUUAGUAUGCUUAGGACUUAUUACUCAUCCUGGAUACUCAUCGCUAUAUUUUAUCAAAUAUAAUGAUUUUAAAAGUAAAAGGUGUGAGUGGUGAAAAUAAAUUGUGGGUAUUGUGAAAGGGUUAAUGAACAAGUUAUAGAUGUGAUUACUAUGGAGAUGGGGCGGAUGGGAUCUCUUUUGGGGAUGCCCUGGUGUUGUGGCUUAUACCUUGCGGGGUUAAGCGUGAAGAUAUCCGCCUUGUCUCGAUUAAGGACUGAGUUGAUGAUUCAUCUUGCCUAACUCAUUUAUCGUACAACCACUCGCCUUGCAUGGGAAAGGCUUAGUCUAAAUCCCUCUAGUUAGUAUGGCAAUCACCUGGAGGCAGGUGUGCAACGGGACACUAAGUGAUGUAUGUGAAAUUGUGGAAAUAUAUGAAAAGAGCUUUGUGAAUUAUUGUGGUAUCAUGAGAUGUGGCCUUAGUGUUCCCGUGGUGAGCGCCAUUACUUAGCUAUGGAGGGUAAUGACUUUGAUGGAUCUGUGCUUGCACGACGGUGUAAGUUAUGGUAUCCUACUUGUGGGAAAAGUGUACAACCUCUGCAGAGUGUAAAUCUAUCUGGAUAGCCGUGUCCGCGGUCUCGGACGGGUUAUGGUUUGGUUUCAACAACUAGAUGAGUUGGGAUGAGUGAAAACAUGUGAGAGAGUGUGAUUUUGGAAAUAAAUGGUUGACUGCCAUGGUGUUGUGGGAACAAGGGUUCAACAACACUUAAAAUUGUGAUUAAACCCCCAUUUUUAGAAAUACUAUCAUAUGUGGAAAAGGAGCUCUUUUACAAAAGUAUUUGUGAAAUGAAACCUUGCAUGUGUAAAAAGAUAGCUUUAUGCAAAUAAAACUAAGCCUCAUCCUUGAUUUAACCAUAUGCAUAUAUACUGUUAUCCCCUUCCGUAGGGUAAAGUUGGAUUUGCUGAGUACUUUGUACUCACCCUUGCUUUAUUAAACAGAGGAAGAUCCGGACUUCGAUCCCGAAGUGGCGUUCGAGUAAGGUCGUGUCUGCACCCAACUAAGCCUGUGGCAUUGGGACUCGUCAGAUGUUCGAUGGCGAUAUCGUUUGUUUCUGGGUCCUUUGGACCUGUGUUGUAUUUUGGUGUCUUAUUAUUAUAGCGUGCCUUCCUUGUCCACGCUUGUCAAGACUACUGCGCUGAAACUUAUCUGAUGUAAUAAAUAUGUUACUAGCCUCCUAGGACUAGUAUUGUAUCACAUUUGAGUUACUGGUUUACCAGGGGCGCUUCAGGUGGUAUCAGAGCCGUAGUUGGCUGUAGGACGCGACCUUAGGCUUUUCUGGACCAGUAUUUUACUAAAUAAACAUAUUUUACAAAAGUUCUUACCCUCUUCCCUCUAUUUGAAAAAAAAUAUUUACUCUCAUCUAUGUCUCUCAGAUGGCCGAAGGAGUUUGGACCAGCAGUUACUGUCUAAGUGUAGAAGGCUUUUCCAAGCUCUUGUAUGCUACCAUGCAGAAACUUGGAAUCAAGGAUCGCCCAGAAUAUGAAGGUAGAGAAUAUGAAGAGCAUGAGACCGAGCGGUGUGAAGUUACCAUCUAUAUUGGGAAAAGUGAGGACUUCCCUAACAUAGCUGAAGCUUGGAGUAUGACUGCGAUCGGAUUUCGGUUUGCAGAUACAUAUCAAGCCGUCGCCCGCAAAGCCUUGAGGUACCUAUGCCAGAUCUACGAGAAGCCCAUCACCCGUACACCUAUGAGGUUCUUUCCACCCGACGAAAAAGACCGACCAGUUUGGAGGACCCGCAUGGAGCUCUUGCAAGGACGUUACUCACUUGAAGAUGACCCAACUGUGGUAUUCAUGACCACAUACCUACUUGCUCUAGAUAAGCAAUACGAUGAGUAGGCCUCAGAGUUAAGGAAGUGCAUCCAUCGUGCGGAGGAAGCCGAGAUCAUAGUUAGAAAGCUCCAUGUGCAGCUUGCGGAAGCUCAGGCCCAAGCAGCUGCAGCCGAGAGUCGUGAAACUGCCAUUGCUGAUGUCUUGAAGGCAGCUGAAGACCGCCAUGCUCAGGAGUUGAAGGAUGCCUACCUUAUCACUAGGAUCAAAAGAAGGAUGUUAGCAGAGGAAGACCAAGAGCCCAUAGUCCUAAAAGGUAUCCCAAUCAUGUCCCUAAAAACCAAAAGCAAGAUGGACAUAGAAGGGCCAUCAGCUCCCCCACCCACAGAAGCCUCUCAUGAAGCUUUAGAGUUGGAGCCCAGUAAGGAAGAAGGAUUUCCCCUCCUCACCCAGCCACCCCCAAAGGAAGACGGUGACCCACCUCUUAGUCCAAAAGAAGAACCACAAAUGCCGGAAGCAUGAUCCUCCUCAACACCAAGGGAAUGAAGCCGUUCUGUCCGAAGAAGUUGAAGAAUAGUAACACCUAGUUCCUCCUUAUGUCUUGGGGAAGUGAAGUUUACUUCACUUUUGUUCAACCCCCAAAGUAGAUGAACCGUAUUGUAGUACGCUUAUUUCCUCCAUUACUAUGUUGUAAACCGCCCUCUUAUUCAAAAUAUAUAUUUGUGCUUGUUGGUUGUGCUAAAUAAUUGAGUGCUCUAUGUUGUUCCCUUACGGGAUAGCAAGUCUUAAGACUUGCACCUUUUUAAAAUAUAACGCCUUAACAAAAAAAACAACAUCACUCAAUAGAUCUAACCCUUAUCUAAUGCUUUCUCAUCUUAACCAACAGAUGCCUCCCAAACCAGCUACCCGCUCUCAACCAAGUGGUCGUGCAGCUAGUAGACAAAGCCAAAAUCCAAAUGGAAGUCAAGCCAAUGCAAAUGUGGAUGGUAUUCAUGAAGAUGAAGUGAGUCAGACUAGGAACCAUAAUGAAGGAGAUGACUUGCCCCCUCCUCCAGUAAUUGACUUGGCACAAGUCAUGGCAACUCAGACUCGCCUUCUGCAGACCUUGGCUCAAGGCAUGAACCGCCCUAGGAACAACCGUGGAGCCGGAGUCCAAGACAAGAUGACUGAGUUCAUGAGGCUUAAGCCACCCACCUUUACUGGAUCUGACAACCCCAUGGAAGCAGAUGAUUGGCUUAAGGUGAUUGAAAGAAAGUUGGACACAAUCCACUGUGAUGGAAGGGAUAGAGUUCUGCUAGCAUCUCAUCAGCUGACAGGAAUUGCCCUUUCUUGGUGGGAAGCCUAUAGUGGAGCUGUGGACAAUGCCAACACGAUCACAUGGGAAGAAUUUGUGGAUGAAUUCCGCCGGUACCACAUUCCAGAUGGAAUCAUGAAGCUAAAGGCUGAUGAAUUUCGCAACUUGAAGCAAGGAAAUAAAACCCUGAGUGAAUACAUCUUCCAAUUCACUGAGUUGUCUCGCUAUGCCCCAGAAUUGGUCAACACUGAUGCUAAGAAGCAGACAAAGUUCAUAGAAGGAUUGACCUGUGAGCUUAGAACCCUCAUGACCCCAUAGAUCUAUCCAGACUUCAACACCUUGAUGAACAGGACCAUUCUGACUGAUGUGGCCAAGACUGAAGAAAGGAAAGAGAACAAGCGCAAGUUUCUAGAGCGCAAGGUUCAAGAUGGUGCUAGAUCCCAGAGGCUGAAAACCUUUAGCCAACCAAGCCAGCGGACUCAAGCCCCAAUGCAGUUUCGCUCUCCUGCUAGUGUCUCCAAUAACCAAAUGCAGUCAUCAUAUCAGCCCAAGACAACCUAUCAGAAUCAAACUUAUGGCAAGACUCAACAGAACAGCAUUGGUCAAGUCACAAACAAUGUUAGGACUUGCUUUAAUUGCCAUGAGACUGGACACUACAUCGCCAACUGUCCCUACAAGAACAACCCACCAGCAGUAUCCACUCAGUCCCACACUGUUAAUGGACCAAGACCUGCAGUGUCUGGAGUCAACCGUGGUUUCCCUCGCAACAAUAGCAACACCAACAAUAAUAGCCAGAUGAUGAAGCAACCUCAACAAUCCUAUGGUAGAGCCCGUGUCAACCAUAUUCAUGCUCAGGAUGCUCAGACUGCUUCAGGAGUGGUACUUGGUGAGUUCUUAGUCGAUUCAGUACUUGCAACAGUAUUAUUUGAUUCUGGAGCAUCACAUUCAUUCAUAUCAUCAAGUUUUGUUGAGAAGCAUCAAAUACCCACAGUACUACUAAAGAUACCCCUAAUAACCCGAACACCUGGGUCUGACAUCAAAUGUCAUCUAGGUUGUUCAAAUGUAAGGAUCAUUCUAAGUGGGGUAGUUUUCUUAGCAGACUUAGUAGUGCUCAAGUCUAAAGGAAUAGAUGUUAUCCUUGGAAUGGAUUGGUUAACCAGACAUAAUGGAAUUAUUAGUUGUGCAACCAAGGAAGUAUCAUUAGUUGACCAUGAAGGGAUUAAAGUGAAAUGCCAAACCCGAGGGUCUAAAGUUAAUCCAAUGGUCUUCAACUUGGAUGCAAGGACCAUAGAGGAAGUACCAAUAGUGCAAGAAUACCCUGAUGUAUUCCCUGAGGAACUAUCUGGAAUGCCACCAGACAGGGAUAUAGAGUUCAUCAUUGAUCUUAUCCCCGGGACUGCCCCCAUAGCCAAGAGACCUUACAGAAUGGCUCCGGCAGAGUUAGCUGAACUGAAAGAGCAGCUAAGAGACUUGCAGCAGAAAGGUUAUAUUAGACCUAGUUCUUCACCAUGGGGAGCCCAGUCUUGUUUGUAAAGAAGAUAGAUGGAAGUAUGAGGAUGUGUGUGGAUUAUAGGUCCCUAAAUGAAGUCACCAUCAAGAAUAAGUAUCCCCUGCCAAGGAUAGAUGACCUUUUUGAUCAGCUUAAAGGAGCCAAGUAUUUCUCUAAGAUUGAUUUGAGAUCGGGUUAUCACCAGCUCAAGAUCAAGAAUAGUGAUGUUCCCAAGACAUCUUUUGUAACCAGAUAUGGACAAUAUGAGUUUACAGUGAUGUCCUUUGGAUUAACCAAUGCCCCUGCCUAUUUCAUGAACCUCAUGAAUAAGGUAUUCAUGGAAGAGUUAGAUAAGUUUGUUGUAGUCUUCAUUGAUGACAUACUUAUCUACUCUAAGAGUGCUGAAGAACAUGGGCAACACUUGAGAGUAGUGUUGGAAAAGCUAAGAAGACAUAAGUUGUAUGCUAAAUUCAGCAAGUGUGAAUUUUGGCUUGAGAAGGUUGCAUUUCUAGGCCAUAUCUUGACAGCUGAAGGAGUUGCAGUUGACCCUGAGAAAGUAGAAGCUGUCUCCCAUUGGCAGCAACCCACCAAUGUGAGUGAGGUUUGAAGUUUUCUUGGAUUAUCUGGAUAUUAUCGAAGGCUUAUAGAAGGAUUUUCCAAGAUAGCCAGACCCAUGACAGAGCUUCUUAGGAAGGAUAAGAAAUUCACUUGGACAGAAUCAUGUGAGAAGAGUUUCCAAGAGUUGAAGAAGAGACUAACAACAGCACCAGUGUUAACCUUGCCAGACAUUCACCAAGAUUUCAUCAUAUACUGUGAUGCCUCAAGACAAGGUUUAGGAUGUGUUCUCAUGCAAGGAGGAAAAGUGGUUGCUUAUGCAUCUCGUCAGCUUAGACCUCAUGAGCAAAAUUACCCUACCCAUGAUUUGGAGUUAGCAGCUAUAGUACAUGCUCUCAAGAUUUGGAGACACUACCUCAUUGGAAACAAGUGUGAAAUCUACACUGAUCACAAGAGUUUGAAGUACAUCUUCACACAGCCAGACUUGAACCUAAGGCAAAGAAGAUGGUUAGAAUUAAUCAAGGACUAUAACCUUGAGAUUCAUUACCACCCAGGAAAGGCCAACGUGGUAGCAGAUGCCCUAAGCAGAAGGUCAUAUGGUCAGCAGUUGGUGCCUAAGAACACUCACCUACAAGAAGAGAUAGCACGGUUGAACAUGCAUAUAGUACGCCAACCUCAAAAUGGCAGUCUGAUGGUGCAGCCAACUCUUGUGGAAGAAAUCAAGCAGACACAACAUAAGGAUAAGGAUCUAAUGAAGAUUCGUGAGCAAACUGGAGAAAAUAAAGCUCCAUACUUUAGAGUGGAUAACAAAGGAGUAUUGUGGUAUAAAAACAGGAUUUGUGUGCCCAAGGAGGGAAAGUUUCAAGAAUUAAUCCUUGAUGAAGCCCAUAACUCAGCUUAUUCUAUCCACCCUGGUGCCACCAAGAUGUAUAUGGACUUAAAAGAAAGAUAUUGGUGGAAUGACAUGAAAGCUGAUGUGGCACGAUUUGUUGCACAAUGUGAUGUAUGCCAAAGGGUUAAAGCAGAGCAUCAGAAACCAGCAGGCUUGCUCCAGCCAUUGCCUAUUCCUGUUUGGAAAUGGGAUGAGAUAGGCAUGGAUUUUGUGAAUGGAUUACCCAAAACUCUGAAAGGAAAUGAUUCAAUAUGGGUAAUAGUGGACCGCCUUACCAAGGUUGCUCACUUCAUACCUGUGCGCACCAAGUAUAGUGGAGACAAAUUGGCCCAGUUAUAUGUGGAUAACAUAGUCAAAUUGCAUGGUGUGCCAAGUAGGAUUGUAUCUGACCGAGGUACCCAAUUUACCUCUAAGUUCUGGAAAAGUUUGCAUGAAGCUAUGGGAACCAAUCUAGAUUUUAGCUCAGCUUAUCAUCCUCAAACAGAUGGCCAGACUGAAAGAGUAAAUCAGAUUAUGGAAGAUAUGCUAAGAGCAUGUGUGCUCACAUAUGGUAAAGAUUGGGAGAAAAGCCUAACUUAUGCAGAGUUCUCCUAUAAUAACAGUUACCAAGCUAGUUUGGGCAUGUCACCUUUUGAGGCUCUGUAUGGAAGAAAAUGUAGAACCCCAUUGAUGUGGUCAGAAGUUGGAGAACGAACCUUGAGAAGCAGAAGAUCGUGUAGCUGAAAUCAGAGAAAAAUUGAAAGAGGCACAAUCACGUCAAAAGAGUUAUUCUGAUAAAAGAAGGAGAGAGUUAAGUUUUGCAGUUGGAGAUUUUGUGUAUGUCAAAGUCUCUCCUAUUCGAGGAACUCGAAGGUUCCAAGUUAGAGGCAAGCUAGCACCACGGUAUAUUGGACCAUAUCAAGUAUUACAGAGGAUUGGAGCUGUAGCCUAUCGUGUUCGGCUACCUGAAGAAAUGUCAGAUAUACACAAUGUGUUUCAUGUCUCCCAAUUGAAGAAAUGUCUCAGAGUACCAGAGGAACAAAUAUCGCCAGAUACAAUUAAUUUACAAGAUGACCUAAGAUAUCAAGAAGUGCCAAUAAAAAUCCUAGAUACAGUCACCAAGCAAACUCAAACGAUAACAGUCCGAAUUUGUCGUGUUCAAUGGAGUAGACACACUGAAGCGGAAGCAACAUGGGAAAGAGAAGAUGCCCUGAGAAAAUAGUUUCCCCAUCUAUUUAGGACCCAGCCGAAUCUCGAGGACGAGAUUCCUUUUAAGUGGGGUAGGUUUGUAACAUCCCAAAAAUUCACAUUCAAAAAUCACUCGCAUUAAAAAAUUAUUUUCAAAAUAUAUUUCAAAAACUAUAAAUCAUUUGAGCUCUAUAGUAUCUCCAUCUAAUUCUUUUUCCAUCCAUUCUAAUUAUCCAUCUUUAAAUAUAACCUGCACCGCAUGGCAUGAGCAUCAUAUGUCCGCUACUUAUCCCUCUUGCUCGCUCGCUCUGCCCGAUACCCGGCAACGGCGCGUGCGCCGACCCCACCACCAUCAGCGCCGCAGCGCACUCACGCCCGGCCCCCUCGCCGAGCGCACUCGCUCGCGCGCGCACCGCGGCAUGCGGGCCCCACCUCUUGCCUUUUCCCGCGCCUCUUUUGCUGUACAAAAAGAUAGCAAGUACCAGCAAGCUUACAUGCGAGAAAACAUAGCAGUGCACCUACACGAAUAUAUAUCUCAUACAUGCAUGCAUGCAGGACAAGCAUGCCACCGUCCAUUUGCAUGCACCUGCAUGCAAAGGACAUGGUGAUUAGGCACCGUCCAUUUGCAUGCAACGUGCAUGCAAAUGAGACAUUGCCAUUUGCAUGAAAAUUAGGCACCGUCCAUCGUCUUGUCGUCCUGUGUAGCCAUGCACUACAGUAGCAAUUCUAAUGGCACGAAGCUGAGCACCAGAGGCAUAACCUCACUCCUUCGGCCUAUAAAAAGCCAGCCUCGGGUGCUCACUCUCACCACCCGAGAAACACGUUCACUCACUCGCUCUCACUUCGCGUAUACCGUAUACGGCCAUACGCACAAGCCGAGCUCGACUGUCGUCGCAAGACGAGGUGAGCAGCUCAUGAGCAUCUCCUUGCUCUUCUCUGUCUUUCUGUAGUAUUUUUCUGUAUUUUUCCAUGUAUUUGUUUGUACCGGUUCACUGCCAAGAACUCCACGAAUAGAACCAUGACAUACAGAAGAGUUCUAAUGACCCCUGCUAAUUUCUCUCUAACCAUGCAUGUGUGGGCCAAGCAUUAACUCCAAAUAGUACAUGCAUGCAUGCAACAUGCACUACCAGCCAAACAAAUGCCCACGUGAAGCAUCCAUUCCUUAAUCAUCGUUAGCCUUUUUCGCAUGAUUAAAUUCCGGCCAUUUCACAAAUGCCACAUGCUAACUCUGAUUUUAAUAACUCUUUUUCCUAAAUUCAUCUAAAAUCAUGAUCUACCUCCCAUAUUAAUUUCAUGAUUUUUGGAGCUCAUUUGAAUUUAUAUGAUUAUUUAUCUGUGCCUGUUGUCUGUAUCGUUCGUCGCGUAUUUUAGUUGACGGAGUGAACGAGCCAGAGAACGAGAACGUUGGAGACGAGUACCGCGAGUUUGACGCCGAGGACCCGGACUGUCAGCAGGAGUUUGCCGAGGACGCCGACGGAGGCAAGUCCAACCGAUCCCCUUUGAUGCAUAUUGAUCCUAUUUUUAAACACAACCCGUAGAAGCCGUUUUAAAUAUUGCAUGUACGAUAUAUGUACGAAGUAUUUUCGCUGCUUAGUUAAAACCUGUUGAAUAGCCAUCCUUGAAUUGAUAUUACCCGAUAAUUGUCUUGUUCGAACCUAGGAACAAAUAAUAUGCUAUGACAGAAAUAUUAUUAUUUAGUAUGCUUAGGACUUAUUACUCAUCCUGGAUACUCAUCGCUAUAUUUUAUCAAAUAUAAUGAUUUUAAAAGUAAAAGGUGUGAGUGGUGAAAAUAAAUUUUGGGUAUUGUGAAAGGGUUAAUGAACAAGUUAUAGAUGUGAUUACUAUGGAGAUGGGGCGGAUGAGAUCUCUGUUGGGGAUGCCCUGGUGUUGUGGCUUAUACCUUGCGGGGUUAAGCGUGAAGAUAUCCGCCUUGUCUCGAUUAAGGACUGAGUUGAUGAUUCAUCUUGCCUAACUCAUUUAUCGUACAACCACUCGCCUUGCAUGGGAAAGGCUUAGUCUAAAUCCCUCUAGUUAGUAUGGCAAUCACCUGGAGGCAGGUGUGCAACGGGACACUAAGUGAUGUAUGUGAAAUUGUGGAAAUAUAUGAAAAGAGCUUUGUGAAUUAUUGUGGUAUCAUGAGAUGUGGCCUUAGUGUUCCCGUGGUGAGCGCCAUUACUUAGCUAUGGAGGGUAAUGACUUUGAUGGAUCUGUGCUUGCACGACGGUGUAAGUUAUGGUAUCCUACUUGUGGGAAAAGUGUACAACCUCUGCAGAGUGUAAAUCUAUCUGGAUAGCCGUGUCCGCGGUCUCGGACGGGUUAUGGUUUGGUUUCAACAACUAGAUGAGUUGGGAUGAGUGAAAACAUGUGAGAGAGUGUGAUUUUGGAAAUAAAUGGUUGACUGCCAUGGUGUUGUGGGAACAAGGGUUCAACAACACUUAAAAUUGUGAUUAAACCCCCAUUUUUAGAAAUACUAUCAUAUGUGGAAAAGGAGCUCUUUUACAAAAGUAUUUGUGAAAUGAAACCUUGCAUGUGUAAAAAGAUAGCUUUAUGCAAAUAAAACUAAGCCUCAUCCUUGAUUUAACCAUAUGCAUAUAUACUGUUAUCCCCUUCCGUAGGGUAAAGUUGGAUUUGCUGAGUACUUUGUACUCACCCUUGCUUUAUUAAACAGAGGAAGAUCCGGACUUCGAUCCCGAAGUGGCGUUCGAGUAAGGUCGUGUCUGCACCCAACUAAGCCUGUGGCAUUGGGACUCGUCAGAUGUUCGAUGGCGAUAUCGUUUGUUUCUGGGUCCUUUGGACCUGUGUUGUAUUUUGGUGUCUUAUUAUUAUAGCGUGCCUUCCUUGUCCACGCUUGUCAAGACUACUGCGCUGAAACUUAUCUGAUGUAAUAAAUAUGUUACUAGCCUCCUAGGACUAGUAUUGUAUCACAUUUGAGUUACUGGUUUACCAGGGGCGCUUCACCAUGCACAUCUAGAGCCUUUGCAAACGCGGCUUACACACAUCGUUUUCUUACCGAUCAACAGACGCAAAUAUAUCUGAAUCGGCAAACACAAGUCUCACACGUCACAUACACUUGGGAACGCGCAGAAAAUACCGAACGCAUGACACGCUUUUUCCAUCCACAAAACAAAGGCAUGGAUGGAGUCGAAAGCUCCCAACUUCCAACCAAGAAAAUUAGGUCACAAAACUCACAACCGAAGGUUAGAAUGUUACACUGGCCGCAAAUGCAAUCACGCCAAGCCGUGUUUUGUACCGAAGCGUCACGUCCCAAGCGGCGAGCGCCUCGAACCCGUCCCGUCGUGCCCGGCCGGUCAAGGUCAAUCCACCGUGCCAGCGCCCCAAUCGACAACGCGGAAGCGAAGCGGCGAGGAAGGCUCCCGCUGCCCUGCGGCGCCCGCAGAGAAUCCACCCCUGCUUCCAACGAAAAAACGAUACGAUUGCUUCGCUCGGCAAAAAGGUCUCCUCCUCCUUCCUCCCCCCCUGUUCGGUUCCCCUUGGCGGCAGGCGGCGGCGGCAGCGCUCGCUCUCCCGCGUGAGGAGAGCCCGAGUCUUUCCAUAUUCCAAUCCACCCCAAGCGACAAAAAGGAGGCGCUCCUCCAUAGGUGGAGGUUGGCAGGUACUUUGGUGGCGCGCCUGUCUCACACGGAUUUGGUUGGAUUCGAAUCAAGCCGGGAGACACAGGUUUCGUGCCGCGCGCGCGGGAGGCGGAGAUGCACAAGAGCAAGGGGAAGCUCUCCGGCGUCCUGCACAAGGGCUUCAAGCCCGACAAGUGGUCAGUGGAGAUCGAUUUCUGCUGCUCCUGGGGUGCCGGAGGAUGGACAACCUAACGUCUGCUGCUGUGUUUUUUUUUCCCCUACGAAUGAUUUCCCAGCAAGACGUCGCUGCGGAUGGCGGUGGCGCGGAUCAAGCUGCUGCGGAAUCGCAAGGAGGUGCAGGUACGCCAGAUGCGCCGCGAGGUCGCGCAGCUGCUCGAGGCCAACCAGGACAUGACCGCGCGCAUCAGGGUACGUGCCUGCCUUUCCCCCCGUCGCUUGGCUCCCUCCCCGAUGGUGUUCAUUUCAUUCGCCAUUUCAUUUCACCGCGCCCCGCCCAUUGGUUGUAGUUGACUCGAUGCGCCUCCCAGGCUUCCACUCGUGAUAGCACAGUUGACCUCAUGUAUUGUAGAGUUCAAAUAACGCGUGUGUCGCGUGGACUUGACUUCUGAAGUUGUAGCGUUCUAGCCUCGAGCUGAGUACAACUUAGUUGCCUGUUGCAGCUGAGUACAACUUAGUUCGCCGUUGCAGCCUAGGUGUUUGGUUAUAUGUGUGCAAAUGGUCAAAUUGGCUGCAAUUUGGGAGGAAUGUGCGUGCUCUGACUUCUAGAUAGGCCGUGGUUUGUGAUUGUUGGACAUGUAGCCAUCUUGCUACAUUGUGAACUGCAAUGACUUUUGACAAUUGGACUUGUUUGAUACUCCCUCCGUCUCAUUCCAACUUAGAUGGAGAGUCAAAGCAUCUAAGUUUGACCAAAUUUAUAUAAAUAAAAUAAUGACGUUUAUGAUGUCAAAUAAGUAUCAUGGGAUUCUUCAUUAAUUAUAUUUUCGUAGUAUACCUAUUUGAUGUUAGGUCAAACUUUAGAUGUUUUGACUCUCUAAGAAAGUUGGAAUGAUUAGUUUGAGAUGGAGGGAGUAACAUUUAAGUGUUGGUUAUAUUCCAUGUUAUGCUUUCCUUGAGCAUGCUGGCACAUACGCUGGAGCCUGAGUUUGUCCACUGGUGGUUUUUGUGCGGGAGAGAGCUUAUGCAUCUGAAUAUCGAGUUUUUUGUGUUGCUGUGUUCAAUGCUGACAUUCCAUGGGGCAUUGGAUUCUUGCAGAUAUAAGUGUGUGAUUUUCUUUCCUGGUCGAUGUAGAACCAAUAUCAGCUGAUCUGAUUAUACUUGUCCCAUCUUUACUCUGGCAUGCUUGUGUCUGCAAACGUAUGUGCAAAAUUAUUUAUAAGUGUACACAACUUUCUUCUGGUACUGCUGUCCUGGUAUCUGUUAGGUUCAACUUACAAGCCAUAGAACAUCACUAGUUUGUUUUGAGUUAGAAUGAAAUGUGCGCAGACAACAGUUGUAACGUGUCUUGAUAGUACUAUGUCAGCACGGAGCUCAUUAUUUCUUACUGGCUCUGUUUUAUCUCUCCCACAGGUUGAACAUGUCAUAAGGGAGGAGAAGUUCAUGCAAGCAUAUGACUUGAUUGAAGUAUACUGUGAACUUAUAGUAGCACGUCUGUCCAUUAUUGACUCACAGAAGUAAGGCAACCUUUUCUUUCUAUUAUGCAAACCUAUAUUUGCUGUUCCGUGAUUUUAGUUGUAUAAUGUUGUUUCUUGAUCUGAGGUUAUAAAAGCAUACUACAUUAGAUGGUAAUGUAACUUCCAUUUUAUUCUGGAAUGAUUUCAUUAGUUCAUUAGACUUAUUUAUUUUCCUUAUGACAAUUUUCCUAGCAGCACAUCAUUAUGUAGGAUGUUUUUUUCUGCACAACUAAAUAUGUUCUGAUGUGUUUUAUUUUACCUGAAAUUUAGGACUUGCCCAAUUGAUCUGAAGGAGGCAGUAGCCAGUGUUGUAUUUGCAUCAAUGCGGUGUUCGGAUGUCACAGAACUAGCAGAUGUUCGGAAGCAUUUCAAAAGCAAGUAUGGAAAAGAGUUUGAAGCAGCAGCUCUUGAAGUGCGACCUGACAGUGGCGUAAAUCGUCUGGUAAUCUAGAGUGCUUUUAGAAGUUUAAAUAAAUUUUAUUAUGAAACAGGUUGCUUGUUGCUUUUGGCUACAAAAGGAACACAUUUUGCUGCUUUUGGUCUUAACAGUAAAUACAAUUAUGCUUGAUACAGGUAAUUGAGAAGCUGUCAGCAGGAGCACCUGAUAUACAGACCAAAAUCAAAACCUUGAGCUCGAUAGCAGAGGAGCACAACAUUAAAUGGGAGCCAAAAGCAUUUGAGGAGAAACUGCAACAGCCAAAUGAAAAUCCUCUGGUAAGUAAAUGAUUUAGAGUGGUUUCACUUUUCUGCCCUUAGUUGGACAUUGUGGCCCUAAUGGUUCAUUAUAUUAUUCGUUAGUAUGGUUCUGCAACAUAUUCUGGAGGAAACAUUUCAACUAUGGGAUCAUCUACUUCUAGCAUGUCAACACCACAGCCUACAUAUUCAGGUGUAAGUGCAGCAGCUGUGGACUCAGCCACUUCCCAUGUGUCAAUGGGACCUUCGCCUGUACAUGUGCCAGCAAAUAGAACAACAUAUGGCAAUGCCAGUUCUAAUACUUUUUCGAAAGAAAACAUCCAUAAUAGCUCCAGUGCUUCAGUACCUCCUAUCUCCCAACAUGGGCCAUCUGCUUACUCUUCAGCACAGACUCCUGGAUCUAACAAUAUCUCACAUGGAAAUCCAGGAGGUCCACCUUACCCUCAAUACAGCGCAACAGCCCCAGGUACAGAAGGAUUUCAUUGUUUGAAUGUCUGCCAGUUUUCACUGCCCUAUUAUGUUCAUAUUCCCAUUGAAAUCUUUGAUUUCCCCUUUCAGACACAGCAUCCAGGAAUGGAGAGAUCCGUCAGCAUAGGGAAAGAAAACCUUCGGUGACUGGUGCCAAUUGGAAUGUGGAAUUCAAGGAUGCAACAUCUGCUGCACAGGCAGCAGCAGAGUCCGCAGAGAUGGCUAGCAUUGCUGCUAGAGCUGCUGCUGAACUUGCUAGUCGUGGAAACUAUUCUGGAGAUAAAGGCACUGGAGCAUAUGAUUCAGCCGCAUACAGUAGCGAAAACACACCAAGGAAGCAACAAGCUGAACACAUAGUGAAGGAUGAGAAGAGUUUCCAUAACCAGAGUUCAGGUGUUAAUGAUCCAAGGGUGAUGCCAAGUAACUCAAGAAAAAGUUUUGGAGGAACAGAAACUACCCGUGUUGAUAGUCAGAAUAUAUCAACAGAUAAGGCCCCAUAUCAACAGUUCGGCUCCUACAGUCCAGAAAACCAUCCAUAUGUUUAUGAAAUGCCAACUGAACCACCUCAUGCCCAUUCUCCUGACCCACGUUUUGAUGAUUUAUAUGAGAGAGAAAGUGACAUUGGAAGAUCUGAAGUUCAUCCAUUUGAUUUUCCUGAAGAAAACUUGCAAGAUACUGGGCCUGUUGGGCGCAAUUUCAAGGAUGUGGAGAUCAGGAGACCUAGCUCUGAUCACGAGAGCACAGAUGACUACUAUGGUAACUUUAAUUCUUCACAUGAUACAUUUGCCCAUGGCAGCAGCAGCACUGCUUGGGACAAGCAGAAUGACAAAGCUCAAGGCAAUUCUUCACCCGUUGUUUUUGAUCAAUAUGAUUCUGAUGUUGAAGAAGAGAAUUUAUUGGACACAUUCUCCUCAAAGCACACUGAACAACUACCUGAUCCCAGAGAUCAUAUGGGAUUCUCAACUGCAGAUUGGAGUGAACAGCAUAGAAGUGAAUCUCCAUCCAACCAGAAAACGUCGGCCCUAUUUUCCAGAAGAGAAACACAACUAUCUGAUAAUCUAGGAACAAACAGAAGUGAUAUUCCUUCACCUCAUUCUUAUGAUAACUUGCAUCCCGCUUUUGAUUCAGAUGGUGGUAACUCUGAUGAGGAAAUAGCCACAACCAUGCAUGCAGUGUCUUUAAGGUCCCAUUCAGGAAGGUCCCAUCCAGGAGGCUCUGUUUCAUCUGGCCUGAACAAAGGUGGUGGACCUGAUGGUUCACUAUAUGAUUAUUCAGGAGCACAGGCAGUGAGGAACUUGAACCGUGUGCAAAGCAGAGAUUCCGAUCUUUCGGAAGAAGAGACAGAUUUAGAUAAAUUUAAAGGUUCAUCCUCAGCUGGAGCAAAUGAGCAGCAGUCGUUGCCUUUUGCCAUUAGUACUUCAGCAGCUUCUGAUGAUAAGGAAGGUGACAUCGGCCUUAACUUUGGUAGGUUAACGCCUGGACUAAGAAACAAAACCAGGCAACCCCCACCAUACACCAAAGUUUCCAGGGAGAGCAUUCUGCCUAAGCAGUCCUUGCCUACGGUUUCUUCCAGCACUGAAGAGUCAGUUGAUUCUGAAGAGAAUACUUCAUUCAAACAGAAUAUAAGUAGCCCCAAAAGCUCGUUUUCAGCCAGGACUAAUUCAGGUAAAAACCACGACAGUGAACUUUAUGAAAGGAAUCAAAAUGCUGGAACACACUGGGAAGCAAGAUCAACCAUAGCAAGAAAUUCCUUUGGUUUAGCUGACACUGAGAAGUUAUCUGAGCUACCUAGUAAUAUAAGUCUUCCAACAACUAAGAGUUCUGAACGUGCGAAUUCGAGUCAAGUGCUUUAUCAUGAAAAGCCAGGUAUUGGAGCACGCCGAGGACUGAGAUCAACAAUGGCUAGAAAUUAUUUCGAUACAGAUGACAGUGAAGAAGAACUAGAGCAACAACAGACUCCUCAGUCGAAGCGGUCUGGAGUGCUGAUACAAUCACGCAGGACACGGGAGGUAACAUCAGACACAAAGAGAGAGAGUCGUAUCCAAAUUGGAGCUCAAUAUGAUGAUGAAACUGAGAGCAUGCCAAGUAAGACACAAGUCCAUCAAGGAUUCAAUAGCUCAAGUACUGAACAAAGGACUGAAAUGAGGGAUGCAAGCGUGUACCCCAGGGUUGCAGUACAGCGCUCUUCGCCUAAAGCUCAGCAGAUUGAAUCUCCGGUGGCUAGACGGAAGCCACAAGAAGCUGAAAUGAGAAGAAACUUUGUUGGAGGAAACGAGGGGGACGCAGAAACCUCAGCUGGAACUCCAAAAGAGAGCACCCCGAAAACACCCCCUGCACAUGUUCAUCCCAAGCUUCCAACAGACUAUGAUUCUUUUGCCGCACAUUUUAGGUCUCUUCGAACAAACCGGCCUUAGGUUUACACGACAUGUAUAGAGCUUGGAGUUUCAGUUGAAUUAAGUCAUACAUACGAUAGACAAUGAUACGUUUUAUAGUGGUUGAGUUGAGAUCUGUACAGUAUAGCAACACAGAAUGUUUUCUGGAUACCAUGGUGCUGUGCUAGUUUGAGCCUACAAUUCUUUUGUUCUCUUGUACCCUUAAUAUAUUCAAUAGAAUCAUAUUGUAAAGACUUAAAUUUCCUGCUAGUGAUUGUUAAUAAGCACGGCAUGUUGCCGUAUGUAUACAACUUCCGGGGUUCUUUCAUUUCAUUCCAUUGUAACUGGAUCUGGUACACUUAUGCUAUGCAUGAAUUUUGUAAGAGAUUGAUCCAUAAAUUCUGCAGCCUCGUCUGUAGUCUAUUCAUGUGAAGCGAGGUCUGUAGUCUUUCCAUGUGAAGCGAGGUGGCACAAUCUUUGCAUCAAGGGUUGUAAAUUUUCCUUGGUAGUUUAUUGUGAGAAAUGUGGCUUAAAAUUUCAGUUGUCCUGAUGUUAACCUUCUUGUGAACUUAAUGCAAGUGGUGAGUAAUUGUUAUCGGUAAGCAAUUUGGCAACACAGGAAGCAGUACCGGAUGAUUUGCGUCCUCUGGAGAUCAUUUGGCAACACAGGAAGCAGUACCGCAUGAUUUGUGUCCCCUGGAGAUCUAACCGUUAUACAAGUGACGCAAAUUCACACAAAACAAUCUAACGAAAAUUUAAAAGAAAUGUCAGUGACAUCAAAAUAAGAACGAGUAACGCAAAUUCACACAAAAUAAUCUAAAUAAAAAUUUAAAAAUAUGAACGAAAGGAAAUAGUCGAGGGAGGGGGCGCAAAAAAAAAAGAAAAAAAAAGGUCUUCUACAAGGUGCAGAUCAAGCUGGAGAGGUCCACCAAAACAAAGCAACUCGGCCCACUCUCCGCCCUAGGCCUUGUUUAGUUCCGAAAACAUUUCGGAUUUUGGUACUGUAGCACUUUCGUUUGUUUGUGACAAAUAUUAUCCAAUUAUGGACUAACUAGGAUCAAAAGAUUCGUCUCGCGAUUUCCAGCUAAACUGUGUAAUUAGUUUUUGCUUUCGUUUAUAUUUAAUGCUUCAUGCAUGUGCCGCAAGAUUCGAUGUGACGGGGAAUCUUGAAAACUUUUUGCUUUUUGGGGUGAACUAAACAAGGCCCUAGGGUUUAUGAGCACCGGUACACACUAGUAUAUAAAGUGAGCUUCUAAAGCUCGCGCCGCCGCAUCGAUAUCACCUUCUAGGCUUCUACCAGCAGCCGAGCACCGGAAAGCGGAAAGAAGCAAAAUUAGCGGUGUGUCACUGCCAUCUACGGUGGUGUGUCGCUCCAAUCUACGGUGAGAAGAGAUCUUCCCUUCUCGUGUCAACUUUCUUACAUGAACUGGUCUCUGUUAAUGGCUUCUUUAGUGCGCGUAAAUGGAUCUAUUUUUGAACUUCACAUCUCCUAUAUUUCAUCGCCUGAAAUGUUGGAGGGCCUCCCUUUGAACACCACUAGUGCUCGAUUUGCCCCCAGUGUCAUUUGUUACCUGUGCCUUCUUCGCCUCAGUGCUAUAAAUUGUGGGGUUUGUUGAACAUAGCAUUUGUUACUCGUAGGCCUGUUUGGUACAGCUCACAAGUUGAAAUUGUUUUUUUUUGCCAAACAUUUAUUUCCAAAACAGCAACAGCUUCAUGAGUGAAGCUGUUUUUCUCCUCCUCUCACAAAGACAUAAGUUGGAUGAAGCUAGAAAAAAAAUAGCUUAUUGCAGCUUCUCCCUCAUUUCUCUCUCUCAACUAUGCAUAAAGCUAUUUUGCCAAACACUUUCUCCAAAACAGCUCAGCUUCAUCUAGAAAGUCACUCAUGAAGCUAUUUUCUAAAAAAACAGUUUUACUAGUGAAGUUGAGCUGUGCCAAACAAGCCCUAAAUAUGUAAUUCUGUACAAGUUAGUUUGUGGAACAGACAUCUUCUGGAUAUUAUGCUCAUAUGCUGUGCAUUCUAUGUUCUGAUCUUUUUUUAGUCUGAUAGAUCUAUCCUGUAUCGAAAUUGCUAAUGAGGUAGUGAUUCCGAUGUUUAUCAGUUAGUUUUCCCUGUUUAGCCGAUAUAUCAUUUUUUGUGUUGGAUUCCUGGAUUAUAGGUAAGCAUAAAUGGCAACAGUUCCGGAUUCCCUGGUCUGGCAGAUCGUGAGGAAGAAUAACUCCUUCCUGAUCAAACAGUUUGGCAAUGGCAAUGCGAAGGUUCAGUUCAGCAAGGAGCCCAACAAUCUCUACAAUGUUCACUCCUACAAGCACUCUGGUUAGUGUUUGUUUACCAGCCUGUUCAUUUGACAUUUUUAUGCCAUCGGUGGCACUGAUUGGUUACUUUUCAGGCCUUGCCAACAAGAAGACCGUGACAGUGCAGCCAGCCAGUGGCAAGGAGGCUGCGGUGGUCCUCUCGACAACCAAAACAAAGAAGCAAAACAAGCCUGCCAGCCUCCACCACAAGUCUGUCAUGCGCAAGGAGUUCCGCAAGAUGGCCAAGGCUGUCAAGAACCAGGUAUAGAGCAACCCCAUCCCAUGUUCAAUCUUUUAUGUAAUUUGUGUCCCCUCCAAUGUGGUUCUCGUUGAAAACGAUCUGGUUAGAACUUUGUACCCCUCAAAUGUAGAUGAUUUUAUUUUAUAAAUAUCUGUAGGUAACUAGUUAUAAAAUUGCUGUGAUGAGCCUUAAUCUUAAGAUACAUUGGCCUGUCUGCACUUAGCUUCUGAAUGUGAAUAGAGUUUGUUUUUUUAUUAUAACAUAGUCUUCUUGACAUGGUCAUCAUACCUUUAAUUUAUUGUUCUUGUUUCACAUUUCUAGCUGUAUUAACGGUAUUUUAUAAAAACUGUGGAUGGUUAGUAGCACUAGCACGUGAGAAGAAUCUCUGUUUAGGGCUGGCAAUCCACGUAAAAUGACCUAUAUGCUGGUUCUUGGGCCAGAUGACUUACUGUGUGCUUGCCCUUGUGAUUCCCAUUUACAGUUGCUGUGAUGAACCUUAACAUAUAAGAAGAUUCACCAUUCAAUAUAAGGUUUCAUCUUCAAUAUGAUGUACUUGUUACGCUUGGCUUCCGAGCUCGCUGGAAGCAUUUAUUUGCACCCUUAAGUUGAAGUUCUGUGAAAAAAUUUUGCUGCUUGCUUUUAGCACUUGUAACCCUUUUCAAACGAGAGGCAUGCUGUCUGACCUGAAAUGUGGUUCUUAUUUGAGCAAGUCGGCAUCAUCAGUUUAACCGUUGUGGUUUUACUUGUUUGUACAGGUCGGUGACAACUACUACAGGCCUGAUCUUACCAAGCCAGCUCUUGCAAGGCUGAGUGCAGUGUACCGGAGCCUCCAGGUUGCCAAGUCUGGAGUCAAGAAGAAGAACAGGCAGGCAAACUAAGACAACAAUGGUCAAUGACUCAUUUUGUGCUAUCAAAAACAUUGUGGAUGGGUGGCGUUUAUACAGCUUUCAAGAUUUGGAGUAUGAGGAAAUGUGCUUAUAACCUGCUAUGGAUUUUCAUAGUUGACUCCACCUUUGUAUAAUUGUACCGGUGACAUAUUAUUGAGCCUAUGAAAAUAUUUUAUUAGUUCGUAUGGCCUUUGGUUAUUUGUGUUGCUGCCCUCUGAGGUUCUCUUGGAAACAUUAUUGUUUACAUCCUCUUGUGCUGAGUUUUGAAAAAUGUUCUGCCUUGUAAUUGGUCUAAAAAGACAUCAAAGCAACAAGCUGUACAAGUACUGCUUAAUCAUGUCACUUGGAAAAUUCGAGGUCUGUUGCUUCAAUUUGUCCCCUAUUUAUACAAGUACUGCUUAAUCAUGUGAUUUGGUGACAGCUUUGGCCGUCUUCACACCUUAGCAAAUCUCUCUUAAAUUGAAUUAGAAGCUGAUGAUGUUAUUGUUUUUUACUUUAUUAUAUUCUUUUCCUGCAAACUAUCGAGCCAUGCCAAGCAGGUUAAGGAGGCUCAGUUGUCCUGCUAGAGACUGAUCGAUCAAGAUAACAAUAAAUUAAUUUCAGACUAGCGAACUGUUCAUAUUGCGUGCACAGGAAUUUGCGAAAUCUUUUCAUUUGCUGAAAAAUCGAUGGCUUGGAAGCGACACCUUGCAGCAUCUUGGAAGGAACAAAAACCAUGGACCGAAACGCACUCUUACCAGACGUGCGGGACACUAACAUCUCGCUUGGGCUCGUACAAAACCGAGCUCCAACUCACGAUGCACCGAGAAACCGGUGGCAGCACACAUGCCGGUCGGCGAGAAGACGGCCGAGGCAACGGCCAAGGACGGCGGCAGCCAGCCGAAGCCACCGUCCCGCGGUAGCGCCCGCUUCGAGCGCCUCCUUUCCGGGCUGGGCGCUGGUCCGCUCGUGGACGUCGAGCCCGACAAGGUCAAGGACGACAUCCGGCGAUGGGCUAAGAAGGUGGCGGCGCUGGUGCGCCAGCUCAGCUUCGGCGCCUGGCCGGAGAAGAGCGACGGCUCGUCGGAGCACCGCGGCGCAGGCGAUGAUGGAUCCGCCGCCAACUGAGCAUCUAGAGCCUUGACUGCAGAUUAACUUUCGCAGGCAGUAAAGCCAGUAAUCACAACUCCGAUGAUAUGGCGGCAGCGCCGGGAUAAAGCAAGAGCAAAAUUCAUUUAUCUCCAUUCGUUCAUUCGUUUCGAAGAGCGAUUUAUAGGCUGAUAAUGCAUGUGUACUACAGUAGAUCUUACCUCAGUUCGGUCAAAAGCAAUAAAAUUUAGCAAAGGUCAUGGAUGUAAUGAUUGUAAUAAAGAGCAAUGCAGAUUCUCCUCCAGUAAAUAACAUCUGGGCUAGGGUACUCAUCGAAAUCACCCACAGGCCACAGCACAUUACAUGGUGCACCAUGUCUGAGUUUCCGUUCAACUCAACAGAUUAUUAAUGAAAGUGGGAAAAAAACACUCAGUCUUACACUUGAGGGCAUUCUCCUCUACCAAUUUACUGGUAAGAUAGGUGGCAAUAAGCUAAUAUCUACACUUCAGUUAGAUGAAUCAAGAUAUUACACCCCCUAGAUUUGUACAACUUUGUACUAUACAGAACCGCUCUACCUAAACUACAAAAUCAGCGAUAACUUUUAAACUGUACAUGAUGUUUCUCAAUCCAGUUUUCUGUCAAGUUUUGAAAUGCUCCUCAAAAGUUGUUUGGAGCAGACGGUUUGUGCCUGAGCUACAUAUCGUACACGAUUUGCUUUCACCCACGCAGGCUCCUAAUUAACAAAAAAGAAAAUCAAGAACCCACACAAGGGUGCUUCGGUUAUAAGGAAAUCAGUGCAACUGAACAGAAGAAGAAAAUACAGAAAAUCACCUCAGGCACGAAGUGUGAGAAACCAAACUUAAUUAAGAGGAGAGCGUGCUCCAUUAUGAGGAUUGCUGCUAGUCCUGGCUCAAUCCUCCACUUCCCCUCCUCAUCAUACAGACAAACGAGAAGCAAGCAGUUGGUGCAUAUUGCCAUCACAACCAAGAACUGAAAACAAACUUCAAAGUGAAUCAUGCAUAUUCCCACAACCCACAAGUAGUGAAACUAAAAAGUUCAGCUAGUAAACCUGGAAUAUGUUCAACCAUGCUCCAAUUGUAGCUGCAGCACGGGGAACAGGUCUUUUCAACAUGACUAACAACUUCAAUGCAUCUGCUCUGAUUUCAGUAACAUUGUUCUGUAGUCAAAAUAGUUCACAACAACAUUAACAGAGUUACAUCAAAGCAACAAACACAGAAACUUGUGUAUUAGUGAUUUUGUGAUAGAGAUCACAUACCACAGCUGCAAAGCAGAAAAUCAAUGGAAAUGCACAGGCAAACAUCAUGAUCAUUCCAAAUUGAAGAGUCAGCUCCAGAAAGUCUGCAAUGGAUUCAAUAUCAAUAAUAUAAACAAACGCCAUCAUUUGCUUUUCCAUUUCAAAAUGCAAAUGCUAUUGACUGAAACGCAGCACAAGUGGUAUAUAUGAACCACAUCCAAAGUGAUUAUCAAAAGAACUGCAAAGAACAUACUUACCAUCAAAUAAACCAUCUUCCAGUUCUGCUCCAAUGCUUGCAGUAUAAGAGGGUUUUAAAUACUCUUUCUCCACUCUUGUUGAUAAUCGGACUGACCUACCCAUCGGUGAUUCUUUCUCAUGUUUUUUCUUGCUACAAGAUGGGAGAGAAUUCUUGUAUUACUCUAUUGAUCUGGGAAUAAGUAUAAGGACAAGGGUUCAUGUGAAACUUACUGAACAGCUAUGUACUUUUUGUAACUGUACUUGAGGUAAGGAAUGGAAUUCUCAAUCAGAUUUUCCAAUACCUGAAAAAAAAAACAUAUCAUCAGUAGGACACUAUGGCACAAACAUAUUGGACAGUAAAACAAUUAUGUUGCAGACAUGCCUGGGACACAAUGAGACGCUGGAUGAGGACUUGCCGAAGGGCCAGUAUAUCACGAUACAAAGAAGCAUGGUAAAAUAACCCAAUAUAUGACUGCAUAAAGUAAAGGCCAAAGACCUGCAUUUGAAGAAAAGGAAAUAAGGUAAGAAGCCAAAAAUAAAGAACAAAACAUCAUCACUUCACGGUAUUUACCUUAUAAACUAAACUAGCGGAACUCGACUCUUCUCCUUGGUUGUUUUCGUACUUUAUCAAAUUGACAGACACCUUGCCACCAAUUCUGGUGUAAUAUUGAAUUGCAACAAGAUAUACUGCAGUCAACAAAUACCUGUAUGAUAUAAAAUUGAUCAGAAUAAUACAGUGCAGAUUUUAAUGACAGACAGAAAUGAAAAAACGAAGGAAACUGAUACUAAGUACUAGGGUAGAAAAACUAGCUAAGAAAGGCAGGGCACAGUUUUUAAGUAACCAAAUCAAAUUUGAUUAUAUGAAAUACUCACCUCAUAGCCUCAGUUUCCGUAAUCUCAUAUAGAUGAGCAUAGGCCAACUCAAAUGGUAGCUGAAGACAAAUGAUAGCCAGCACAAUGAUAGCAUUGUUUCUUAUUCUAAGGAGGACUCCGAACCAUUCGUUCCUUUGUAACUUACUUUUCUCAGCAGACACGUCACAAAAUUUCUUUUCCUCAACAGUAAGAGAGUCACUCAAGAAGCUGAGGUCAUUGCCCAGAUUUUUGUAUUCAGAUAGUGAACAAUUAAUACCCCAUCUGUUGGAGGGCGUCAUAAAGGCAAGGAAAGCGUUGAGGAAAUUAGCCUGAUAUUUCCAGAUCAAUAUGAGGUAUUUGCAGAUUAAUAUGAAUCACGUAUAACCUUGCAAGAAGUGCUGAAUUCUUCCGUUUCCAAAACUGCAGAAAGAAGACGGCCCAAGAAAUAACAAAGAUAAAGAAAGCAGGAAGAACCAACCACUGCAAUGACCUGAAUUCAACGUGGAGAGGAGAAAUGUAGAAGUAAGAACAUAUAGAAAAAUAUUAAUUUUGUUACUAAAUUUGCCAACAGAGGCAUUGCACGUGAAAUGCAUACCCGAAAUCUAUGAGUUGAGUUGUCAGUCCGAAAACAGCUGGGAAGAAAAGCCAUCGCGUAUACAUUCCUAGGAACGCAAAGUAUGUUGCAAUCUGCAGUUCAAAGUGGAUAUUUAAUCAAGUAGAAGGUAGAAAAAUUAUUACCUUGCUUUAGACAGAAUGGAACAUAAAUUAAAUAUAGUACGUAUAAGCUGCACUGGACACAGUUCUACCUUUGUUCCAAAGUAGGAGUAAAUCUCAUCGAUGGGUUGCCAUGUGAAUUCAAGCCAGUUAAGAGCCCAGUUUCUCAGGAGUUGCUUCCUUUUAAUUUCAUCUGCAACGGAAGUUUUAGCUGGCAUACAAUAAUAGUUUGAAAAUAUGAACAUAAAUAGAAUUAAGAUUAGUGUACCAUGCAAAGGGAAUAUUAGCUUUACAACUCCUUCAGCUUCCAGCCUUGUCAAUAAGGACUCACUUUGCUUCCAGUGGAACUCCUUAUUAUCAAAUUUAAGAGCGAUUUCAGAGUUUGACUUGUUCACCUGCAUUAAUCAAUUCCAACUUGCUAUCAUAUUAGAUAUAUCCAAAUUAGAAAAGAGCCAAACACUUGGCGAAUUAGCUAAAUACUUCACUUCUCACACAUAAUAUCAAGCAAACAAACAAUGAACAGGAGUGCAUUGAUCUGACAAAGUAUAGAUCAGCACAGAAUCAUGUCAUUUGUAGUCUUAUAAUGCAGACCAGAGAAGCAAGCAUUAAAAAUGCAUCCAUAGGUACAUUGUGGAACCAUAGGUGAUAAAUCAGUGGUCAUAACUACAAUGUAUUUCAAUCACAUGGAUAGCUAUAGGUGACGACAGUCGUGCACUUACAAUGCCAUAUAUCAAGUAGCGGAAGCAGCAAUAGCGUUCUCUCCAGCUGAACAGGGAACCAUCUGGCUGCCUAACGAAUGCUGCGACCUGGUCCCAUUCAAACUGAAGCUCCAUUCCUAAGACGCAAAUUAACAGCAAAAAUGAAACACAUCGCCCAUGUCCAAUCACGUUUCAAAAUUCAUAUGCCUCUUAGAUAUCCAAUUACCGAUGUAGGUUAGCUUCUUCAUCUGCAUCUCAGCAGCAGCUCUCCCCAGGGUCCCCAUUGGUGCAGAUAGCUAAAUUCAAACAUCAGGCCCGCAAGCAUUAGAAUUUAUUUAGAACUGAAAAAAUAACAAGCAGCACGCGUUGCAUAAUUUCCGAGCGAGUGAGGCAGAUACUAGAGGGCUCGCGCUCUUCUGUAUUGCCGCCGCCUCCGCUGAAACUGAAUUAAAAAAAGAAAAGAAAAGAAAAAAAAUAGCAGAGACACCGGGUCACAGACCUUGAUGAACUCAGCGGGGACGCCGCGGACGCGCUCGACGAGCAGGCCGGCGCCCUCGAGCUCUCGCACCAGCCGCGCCACGCAGUCCUCGGUGGCCCCCGCCGCGGCGGCGCGGGAGAGCUUGGGCACCACGAUGCCCACCUCGAACCCCGUGGCCUCCUCCACAGCCCCCUCCUCCCCUUCUGGCCCCAUCCCUAACUCGGGACGCCCGGAUCAGAUUCGGGCGACGACGGCGGAUGCGAGGAGGCGGAUCCGCAUGGGCGGAAAGGGGGGGAACGCGAGGAGGAUGCGGAUUCGCGGAAGAGGAGUAAACAAAAGGAAAGCGGAGCGUGCUUUGGGAAUGGCGGAGGCCCGGAGGCGGAGGGGAAAAGAGAGAGAGAGCGGAGCGAGAGAGCGGGGAGUAACGGAUUAGGAGGGCCGGUGUCCGCGGUUCAUUCGAUUUGAUUUGAUGAUUUUCUAAGAUUAAUUUAAUUAUUAUUAAUCGGCUGAUUAGUUGGCGUCGUAACUGCCUGGCUGUGAGCAGGCAGCGCUUGCUUGCGGGCGUAAUUAAGCGGCGACUUGGGGAUGCAACGUGAAACGCAGUGGGGAAAAAAUAUUCGAGGAAAUCGUGCGUGCCUUUAUUUUUUACAAAAAAAAAAUCGUGGUUUCUAUUUUUUUUUUUACAAAAAAAUCAUGCAUGCCAUUUUGUAGAGCAGGAGUAUUUUUUUAUUCAAAUCAAAGAAGAAAAAGAUUGUAGAGAAGGCAGAGGGGAUGAGGCGUGUGAUUUGAAAGCCAUGGGUACUUGGGACCAUGUGGCACACAAAAAUAUAUGAAAUGGUACGAAGGUCAAUAAAAUGUGGGCAUAUUAUGUAGAGUUGUGAGUGCGGGCGAAGGCACACCUGUUACGAUGAGUUUUUCGCAAGAGGGUGGUCGGUGGUUUUUGUUGGCCUAGGGACAAGGUGAGCUUCCAUGCGUUCGUGCGGCAGGCUGUAGGGCACAAUGGGAGCUUUCGGUUUAGCCUGACGGUUGCAUGGCAUCUGUUGCAUAUGCUACAGUCUCUAGUUAAGGAUUCUGUCCCUACAAAUCCAAGAUGAGAAACAGGCAUAGAUAAUCCCUCAAACAAAUCGAUCAAAGCAUUGGUCAUCUUUUGUAAAGCUUGAGCCUUCUCAGAAACAGACUUAGGUCCACACCGAGGGAAGGUACAUUAACAAAUCUAAUGCCUAUGUUGGUUAAUGGUGAUGAGGGCAUAUAGAUCAGGUUUUCUUUGAUUGUUGUAACGAGACUAUUUGACCUAUCAUCGUGAUUAAAGACAAAUCCUUCCAUUUUCUGGGCUUCAGUCUUUCCGCAAUGGAUAACAUGUCAAGAGUACCCUUUUGUCACAAAUAACAGCCGAUCCACAAUAUUCUUGGUGACUCUUGGACAGAUUUUUCAGUCUUGUGCAUACGCAAUAUGAUAACCAUUUUAUGUCAUGCUAUGUUAGGAAGGGGGCAUUCCCAUUGGCACACUAGGCAGCAAAAGCUUUUUCUUGGUUUUUUUUGUCCAUCUUCACGAGGAAACUUCAAGAUGGCAACGCGGACAUCCCCGCUGGGGACUAGCACCUCAUCCCUGAUACCCAUGAUUUCCCCCGCUCCCUGUAUUGGGGCUAUCUUUCUCCCGCCCCUGUCCCUGAUUGGAGUCACGGGGCCUCGACGGGUGCCACGCACCUGACUGCAAGUCAGGGGUGGCUUCGUUUUGUGUCGGUGUCACCAUGGAGAAAGCCAAAGAGCGAGGGGAAGCAGAGCCGGGGAACCAAGCCACCAAGGGAGCAGGGCUGCAGGAGAGCUGACGUUGAUGGAGGGGAGCCACUGAAAGCCCUAGUUUGGUUUUGGAUAAUUGAUGAAACCCUAGUACUAACCUCUAUGCUAAAUGUGUGUAGACUUAAUGAGGUUGGUACAUGCCAAGUGAUGGAGCAAGUGAUGAUCAGGUGAUGUUGUUGAUGACCACAAGAUGAUCAAUUUCUCAACUUGGAAAAGAAGAAAGAGAAAAACAAAACCCAAUGGAGAUCAAGGCAAAGGUAUUGCUUAGGGUUUUGGUUUUGGUGAUCAAUCACCAUAGAGGGUGUGAUCACAUUUAGGAUAGAUAGCCGUACUAUAAAGAGGGGAAUUCUUUGGCUAAGCGGUUAUCAAGUGCCACUAGGUGUCAUUGUUCAUGUGCAUGCAUUUAGAACCUAGUGAGCUAACUUAACUCCUUCAAAGAAAUUGUUUGUGAAAUUGCUAACACACGUGCACUUGUUGGUAUACACGUUGUGGUGUUGGCACACUUUGAGAAGGAGGUGGAGUUUGAAGGGAUUCGACGCUUUUGAGAAAAUGAAGUGCAUUUUUUCUAUUGCGCUGGUGGAAAUUUGGAGAAGUCGCGGGAGUGUUUUCUCUCUGAGAAACACUCACCGGACGCUGAGUGUGGAGGCACCGGACGCGGGCCUCAGAGUCCGGUGUGCUUGACCCUGCUAGGGUUGAGCACCGGACGCACUCUGAGAGCGUCCGGUGGUUAGCGUCCGGUGUGAGGGCGUUUUGCAACCCUCUCUCCGCAUGAGUCCGGUGAGCACCGGACGCUCAGGGUGCGUCCGGUGGCUUGCGUCCGGUGACCGUGCGAGUUUGCGGAGCUCUCUGCGCAUGGGUCCGGUGUGCACCGGAAGCGUCUGGUGGUAUCUUGCUCAGCGUCCGGUGCUCUGCAGGUUACCGUUAGAUUCUGACACGCGGCUGACGUUGGAGCACCGGAUGCAGGUGUUGAGCGUCCGGUGCCCCUUUAAGAGCGUCCGGUGACCCCGAGUUAGACCCAGUGAGAGAGCCAACGGCUCUAUUUGUUUGAGGGGUCUAUAAAUAGUUGUUGGCCGGCUUAGGGCUCACUCUCUUGGCAUUCUUGACUACUAGACAUCCUUGUGAGCCUAAGCAAACACCUCCCACUCAUCUCCUUCAUAGAUUAAACAUCUUUGUGAGAUUGGAAGUGAUUCCAAGUGCAUUUGCUUGAGUGAUUGCAUCUAGUGGCACUUGGGGAUCGUUCUAGCUGCGGUUUUUCUUGUUACUCUUGGUGGUUGCCGCCACCUAGACGGCUUGGAGCAGUGGAGGAGGAUUGGCACGAGUUGGUGAUUGUUCGUGGCCAUCUCCCGGUGAUUGUGAGGGGUCUUGUACCUUCCCCGGCGGAGAGCCGAAAGGUAACUCUAUUGGAUUGCUCGUGUCAUUGAGAUAUCUCACUUGUGGGUAGGUUCUUGUGGUGUCCUAGUGAGGACGAGGUUCGUGCUACACCUCUUAGCCACCGAACCACCAAGUGUUGGUCGACACAACGGGGACGUAGCGUGCCGGCAAGCACGUGAACCUCGGGAGAAAAAUUGUGUGUCUCCAUUGUGAUUGUUCAUUGGAUUUCUCCCGGUGAUUGGACUUCAUAUUAUUGAUUGGUUCAUCCCCUCUACGCGGCGGUAUAAAGUUCAAACCAUCUCUUUUACAUUCCCGCAAACUAGAGUGGCUUACUUACUUGUAUAGAACCUUUAAGUAGCUUUCUAGUGUAAGUAGUGACAUAGCUCUUGUGUGCCUAGUGAUUAUAUCAACUAGAAUUGUUGGAUAGGUGGCUUGCAAACACCACAUUAGAGCUAGAGCAAAAAGCUUCGCUUUGUUAUUUACUAACCUCUUGCUCUAGUGAGUUUGUAGAAUUUUUAAAUAGGCUAUUCACUCCCCCUCUAGCCAUAUUAGGACCUUUCAGCCACAACACCGCAAGAAGAAGCGUCGAUUCGAAUAAGCCAUAACCAUGGAGGGCGGUGCGACAGGAGUGGAGUGCAAUGGCCUGCGGCAGUGGAAGGGUAGGGGCGCAAAUUUGCGUUCCCCAUCUCUGACUCCACAUCGCGAGCGCGAGUCAGGAGGACGGCGGUCGCGAGUUUUGGAAAAGAUGGGCGAUGGCGUGAGGCAGUGUUGGGUUACCAUGUGUUUUAUUUUGGUUGGGCUGAAUAUCUAGCAUCGGGUUUCUUUGGACUUGCUAUCUGACCCAAUGGAUGACGGGGACGGGGAGUGCUGGAACGUUACUGCCCCCGCUUCCCCCAAUGGGGAUCAGUUUUGGUCCAUAAACAUCCCCGCGAGGAUCAAGAUUAGUCCAUGAACAUGCCCUAAUGGAUGAAAUCCCCAUCGAGGAUCAGGGCCCUGUUGCCAUCUUGAAGGAAACUAGAUCUUCAUAACAAAUUGCCAAAAAUUCAUAGAUUACGAGGGUUGAUGUUCGUGGUUCAUUUGAUUUGAUUUGAUUUUCAAGAUUAAUUUAAUUAAUUGGUUGAUUAGUUAGCUUCAUAUAUGCCUGCCUAUGAGCAAGCAGCGCUUGCGGGCGUAAUUAAGCGGUGACUAGGUGUGCAACUUGGAACGUAGUGGGGAAACAUUACUCAUGAAAAUUGUGUGUCCUAUUUUGUAGAGCGGGAGUUUGUGUUUCAUCAAAUGAAAGAAGAAGAAGAAGAAUGGUAGAGGAGGCGGAGGGGACGAGGCAUGUGAUUUGAGAGUCGUGGAUACUUGUAUUUGGGAAUCAUGUGGCGUUCAGAAAUAUAGGGAAGGACAUGAAGGCCAAUGAAAUGGGCACGUAUAUGUAGAACCGUGAGCGAGGGCGAAGGCACAACAAAGAAGAGUUUUCACAAGGAGUGAUUGGUGGUUUUGUCGGCAUACACACUCGUGCGCCUAUGCGGCUAGUGGUGGGGUGUAAUGGGCACUUUUCGGUUCGGCCUGUCGGUGGUAUGGUGUCCGUUUUAUUUGGCGGUAUCGAGGGCCAAGAGGGACAUGCCCCCUCGCCUCUCGCCCCGCGCUGGUCUUGCUAGUCUUGCUAUUGCAAUCUCUGUUUGUUGUUAUCGGUUGCUGCUUCAUCAUUCGGCACCAAGACUCGAGAGCCAACACUUUUUGACGUGACUUGUCUCUAUUUCGCUUCUCUUUUACAUGCACUAGUGAGCGGUUCGUUGUGCAGUGCGUCAAAAAUUUUGUUCUAUCUUCACUGGGCGGCACUACUCUUAAACUUAUCCGUCGAAUCUGCCAGUCAUUUACUAUUUUUAUUUUAUAACAAAUCUGUGAAUAGUACUAGCCAAGCAAACAGGACAACUGUCCUUUUUAAUAGCGUGUCAUCAAACACUGUAACGAAAGCGACAUGCUCCCUCUUCGGCUAAACUAAGGAACGAACACAUGUAGUAAUUAUUUGUAGCACCACUCGAACGGCCUCCUGCCGCUCUGAUGAUGGCGCGCCGGCCCGGCAUCCCCGUAGACGAAGGAGCGGUACGCCAUGAGGCCGCGCUCCUGGACCACGUCGCGGAGCGUCUCGGGCCGCAGCGCCGCGACGUAGAGGCCCAGCGCAUCGAGGUGCCAGCCGCUCCGGCCCGUGAACCCGACCACCACGCCCCCUUCCAUCGGGUACGAGAAGGGCACCCCGUCCGCGUCCGCGUCCCCGAACGGCCCGUGCACCGUGCCCCGGCUCGUCGUGAACGUCACCGACCGCACCACCAGCGGCGCCCCCCUGUGCGCCGCGCCGUAGCACCCGCUGACGCCCGUCAAGAACUCGUACGGGAAGUCCACGUCGAUCUGCACGCCAUCGAUCGCCAAUGGGAAAGUUAUUAUAAGCUAGGAUUGGCGGGCACCGGGCGGGCAGCAGGCCGCCGGCCGGUCGAUCGUUCGUCGUAUAUAUAGCUACGUACCUUCACGGAGUGGCUGCGGUCCGUCCCGCCGCCGUGCUUCUCGCCGUGGACUGGGCGGCCGUUGCCGUCGGCGUACUCCACCCUUACCGACUCCAGGGAGCGGCCGUACGUGACGGUGAUGCUCCGGACGCCCCGGUGCGGGCCGUCGUCCCACGGGCUCCCGCCGCGGCCUCCCCAUGGCCCGACCUUGAUGACCUUGGUCGACGCGACCAUCCUCCGGUGGUGACCGCCCGGUUGCUGCUGAGGAAGCGGAAAACAUACAUAUAUACAUGUUGUUUAGGAAACAUAGUUCAUAUGCUGAAUGAAGGACAGACGCAGAUGACAUUACCAUGAUUAAUAUCUUGUCAGCGGAAACUGGAGGAGGAUGUGAAAGAAGGAUUCUUGGGAGGUGAGUGUGCAGUGAGAGAGAGAUGCGUAGGCACAACGUAGUGCACUUCUACCAGCACUUAUAUAUACACUACAGGUCCAGAAGAACCACAACUGAAAUAUAUGUAGAUUAAUACGUACUAUGUGCAAGUGGUGAGGGAAUUGGAUGCCCCGAAGUAUCUGGUGUCCAGCAUAAUAAUGAUGCCUAGCGUACAUGUUAAUCACACACGAAACGACCUGAAACUAGACGUCUUCUGAUGAUGCAGAUGAAGGUAACAGCUGAAGGAGAACAUUAUGAUCCUACGUGUUACAUGAUAAACUAAUAACGAGCUAGCCUGGAUCUGGCGAAUACGAUACCGUACGUCAUACCAACCGAGCGAAUGGCUGCGGACCUGUUGGCUGUGGUGGCGUAUUAGGUUGGGGUGUGCAUCAUAUGAAUGGCGUAUAUAUACCUGUACUUUAUAUAUAGGUUCCACAUCCUUUUGCGUCUGAACAUAUGAUGGAUUGAUGGUAGCUCAUUCGUAAGCAAUAAUCAGAAAUUUUAGGUCCUCUCGUCGACGUGUCGAAUGCGCAGUGCAAGUGUGCAACCCAAUGAUGGUCCGGAUGGAGAAUUUUAACUACGUCAUCUCUUAAAAAUCCCAUGCUAAAGUCUUUUUUUUUUAUGAAACAACUGGUAGAAGAGCCAUCGACUAGAUUAUAUUAGAAGGUAGGAAAAUCUAGUAGGAAUGUAGGAUGCUGUACAAGUCUACAAAGACAAUAGGAAAGGCAAUAUAAAACGAGCCCUCACACCCUCAACGUUAAAUUUGCCAAAUGUUCAGACUUUGACAAUAUCGGAAAUUCUUCAACCCACAUGGUCGGAUUUGCAUUUGCGUAGAAAAACAGUGUAACGACCCAUCAUCCAGUAGAUAGGUUCUCUGCGUUCGUUUAACGAUGGUGACUCGCUACCAUUAUUGAUCACUUGUUUAAGGGCUAAAUUUUCCUCUUAAUGAAAAAUAGGCAUGAUGCAAGUAACGGCUAGUUGUGUUGUUCAAUCUUUGGAAGUUCCAACUAUUUUCUCGGAAGUUCCAACCUUUGACAGAUAACGACUAGUUUGUGAGUGUGGAGUGUUUAUACCCCUCCGAAUUAGGAGGGGUUGUUGUUGCCUUCCCAUGCUCAUAUCCGAAAAAAGAAGCAUCCCUCUAGCUCUCCUCACUUCCCCUUUGUGUGGAUUCAAGUGAGAUCUUGUGAGUUAAGUGGAGAGAGUUAGAAAUUAGGGGGUUUGUGAGCACAAGAAUGAGCGAUCAAAUCUUUGAUUGAGCACAUGUGUGGAUUUCAACAUUUAUUCGUGAAGCGUCUAUUAUUCUUGGAGGUGAAGCCUCCUAGAUGGCUAAGCGUCUCACGAUGAGCUUUUGUACUUGUGGUGAGCCAUAGGAAGUUUUAAACGGCUCUGAUCUCAUCUCCGCAAGGGAAGAGAUCGAGCUAAUGGAUCGAGGAAAGUGGUUGAAAGAAACCCGGCUACUGGUCGCUCACGGCUUCCUCAACAGAAACGUACGGUUGAAGUGGGAACCCAACCUCACUUAAACAAUUCCUUAUCUCCUUUGUGCUUUACUUUGGAUAUUUAUUUUUUUACUCGAUCUACUUGGUUGUCCAUGUUUAUGAGUGCAGGUGCUUCGUGGGCUUGCUAUUAGACAUCUGCAGAUUAAUAUAUUAUUUUUUGGUUUGAGCUAGAAAUCAUUAGGCAUAAUUUCACUUCGUUUAUUCCGUGGAAGUUCUGAUGGCCAAAACUUUCGAUCUCCAUCAGAAUUUCCGAAGGUUAUCUAAUCCAUUGCAUUGUUUGAGUUGUGAUUUUUUUUAGGAAAACACUUAUUCAUCCCUCUCCCUCCCCUAGGCGAUAUCUCGGUCCUUAUACUCCACUUUUUAUGAACAUGCUCUACGCUAAGAUGAUGUUGUUCAUAUAUUAGGUGAGCCACAUAGCUAGAAUUUCACAACACUUUCGACGAAAUGCAAGAUAAACUUUGAACAUCCGAUACCAUAUAUUUUGGGACUGAGGCAAUAAUAGUAGAUUGUGAUCACAAUUGUGAUAUGCCAAGCAUGCAGCAACUGAGGAACAGGACUCAGGUGUAGGUCGAGAUUCAAGAACAUAAUCACAUAUACCUCUAUCUCCUCUUAAUGAAACACGUGCCACUAAAGAUGACAACGGGUAAUUAUCCAUCGGGUUAUGGCUGUCCAUACCCUUACCCACGAGGAAAUAUUUUACCCAUAUCUAUAUACGGGUAAGAGUUUUUUCCAUACCCUUACUCAUGCGGGUAACGAGUACUCGUGGGUUAUCCUUACUCAUGGAUCUAAGAAUGUUUGCAAUAUCAAAAUUACAUGUAUCAAUAUAUUAGACUCCCAAUUUCAGCCAAAGAAUCGCAAAUCAAUAACAAAUUAAUUUACCUGUGGCGACGCGAGGAAUGGGGAUGGCGGCGUCUAGAGUCGUGGCAACUCGUUGUCGCGGUCUUCACGUGCGUGACCAUGUGAGAUGCGGCGCCGCAAGGGGGGAGGCGGGAGGGGAGGUGAAAACCUAGGAUUUUCGCUGCGUUAUAUACACGUUUACUGGGCUUGGGCUGUGUGGUGGUAGUUUUGUCCCAUGAUUUCUGGAGUAGGGUCGGGAUUAAUUUACUUAUGGGUUAACAGGUAUGGGCAGUGCAGUCCCAUACUCUUAUCCUCUUUACCCGGUGGGUAAGACUUUUGUCUCAUUUAUCCAUGAGUGAAAAAAUUAGCCAUACUUUUGCCCUAAUAGGUUUUUUACUCAUCGGAUUUCGGGUAGAAAUUGUUAUCUUUACGUGUCAUGCAUGUUCUCGGAAAAAACAUAUAUAUUCCUCUGUCCUUGCUCCUGAGUUACGGAUUGGCUCAUCCUCAGCGCCAAACUUGGGCCUUGUUUAGUUCACUCUGAAAACCAAAAAGUUUUCAAGAUUCUCCGUCACAUCGAAUCUUGUGGCACAUGCAUAAAACAUUAAAUAAAGACGAAAGCAAAAACUAAUUACACAGUUUAGCUGUAAAUCAUGAGACGAAUCUUUUGAUCCUAGUUAGUCCAUGAUUGGAUAAUAUUUCUCACAAACAAACGAAAAGUGCUACAGUACCGAAAAGUUUUUACUUUUCGGAACUAAACAAGGCCUUGGACCAUUAUUUUCCCACACCACUGGUUGUAAUCAUGCCAACCGUGGGUUAAGAAAAUUAUGUUUUCGAGUGACACUUAUGUUAUGUGUGAGCUGACACACAUAUUACAAUACUACCUAAUGCACCAGCUUCUAGUUGAAGGAACGAUUAACUGACGGUCUAACUGCUCCAUGAUUAUUAGUCACCCGAUGACCACCAUCCCAUUUGCGCUGUCAAGAGGCCGAUCCUACACUUUGCCAGGACAAUCUUCUUCGCUUGGGCCCUGUGCUCCGAUGUACAAGAUUCUUAUAUAGCUAGAGUGGUUAAGUCACUCAUUAGUUGUGCUUGAUUAGAUACACACACCUCACGGCGCAGAAGAUGUCUAAAUCUUUGUUUGUUGUUCCUAGUAUACGCACUUCCCAUUUUGUCUACGCUUAGGCCGUAGCACUAGACAUGAAACCAACGCCUUAGGAAAAAAGGAUACGGAUCGCUUGGUGUUAAUUUGGCUUCCAGUAGUUCAGCUCAAAAUGAUCUCCAUCGGUAGCAUCGGCACGCCGAGUGUUUUUUUCUGAAAGGCAACGCUGCCCUUCACCGAUCUGUCUUCUUCGUGCGCGGCCAUGGGGAUCUUGUGAAUUGUGAUCAUCAGAAGGAAAACAAUGGAAUCGAACACAAGGUUGCCCGCCGUGAGAUGCGAGGUGCACUCAUUGGGGAACGCUUUGGCGAGACCGCAUCGCAUGUGGCGCGCGCGGUCCACUCGACCUCCUUUUCGCUGUCUCCCCUGAUUUCUCAAAUCAAAAGUUCAGAUCCUCUGAACCAACCAUUGCAAAAUUAACGGGAGUGCAAAGAAGCAGAUUACCGUCGAGUUUUUCUUACCAAGUACUCCCCUAGUCACUCUUCAUCAGUACUCUAGUUCACCGCUCCUGCAUCUGAAGUCGCCCAUCGGCUUGCAGGUUCUGACGUUUGUAUUGCUGUACUGUGGCGGCAUCAAAUGCAUCAGCAAACAGCAAAACUCUGUAGAAAUGACGCGCAGUGCUUGCACACACAAACAACUCAACAGUCAUCGAUGAACACUGAACAUGCAGCUAUAGAUUUGCUAUAGGACAGGCUCGCAGGGGCCGGCCUACCAGCCAUCCAUCGAUCGUGAGCUGUCUCGGAGGAGGCAGGCAUGGCAACAGACUGGGAACGUGGUGGCUCCGGUUCCAGCCUCUGGAUUUUGUCAGCUAUAAAAAUAGCAGGCGCCGUUCAUCUCUCUAUAACACACACACACACACACACACACACACACACACACACCCCAGUACACCUGCAGCACCGCCCCAAGCCUCGGCAUCUAGCUUUCUACCGUGCACGGUACUACAAGCCGGCAACUUUUCACCGUAACGAAAUGGCAUCCAAGGUCUUCCGCGCCGUCGUCGUCGCCGCGCUCGCCGCGUCCGCCCUCGCGGGGGUCGCCAUGGCCGCCGACGAGCCCGCGCCGAGCCCCACGUCCGGUGCCGCCGCCGUCUCGUCCUCGUUCGUCGCCGCCGUCCUCUGCCCCGCCGUGGCGCUCCUCUUCGGCAGCCUGCGUCACUGAGUCCCAGCAGAACACGGCGAGUUGUCGCAUGGUCACUUACCUCCCCGACCCAUCCCUGCCUCUGCCUUGUAUUGUAUUGUAUCUACUAGCAGGUUUCUUCCUAUGCUAGCUGGCUGUCUUGUGCAUCCCAUGUAUGAUGUAUCUUUAGUUCUUUACCGACUCAGAUAUUCUAUGCCACCAGUUUCUCAGCUACAGUAAUUAUUUGAUUUGUUAUGCCCCCUGUGGAAUUAAGUGCGUACAGUUUCACUUGUUUCCUAAUCAGAGUCACGUCCCUUGCAAUCGUUAUGUAUUAGUACUACUGAUUAACUUCCCGUUGAUUUCAUUUCUCUGAAGUUGCCAUGUAAUGUUCCUUCUCUGAACUAUACUAAAAUGGUCUGAUUAGUAAAGCCAACCGAACACUUCCAUUGCUUUAGCCAAACAAAAACUGCCCGGAGUCCACUGGAGAGUACUAUGGUGGAUGCGAAGCACAAUCAAGAGUCCACUGGAGAGGGGCAAUUUAAAUAUUUGCCCCCCCUUACGGAUGGCUCCUCUUCACUUGCCUCUCUUAUAAGUGCAAUUAAAGAUUUGCUCCAGGAAUCUCUUCGGUCCUAUAGAUUUGCCCAUUUUACCUACGUGGCAGU
RNAcentral lists this long non-coding RNA (61505 nucleotides) under Sorghum bicolor (sorghum). RNAcentral describes it as "long non-coding RNA (SBIC_LNC005651)". The stretch from base 44447 to 44544 matches the Rfam family "Small nucleolar RNA R24". The record is from RNAcentral. Lineage: Eukaryota; Viridiplantae; Streptophyta; Magnoliopsida; Poales; Poaceae.